This 55488-nucleotide long non-coding RNA is filed under the name Triticum aestivum (bread wheat). RNAcentral's name for it is "long non-coding RNA (TAES_LNC008995)". The record is from RNAcentral. Lineage: Eukaryota; Viridiplantae; Streptophyta; Magnoliopsida; Poales; Poaceae.
GAUCUUACCCUGGUUGACCUACGAGGUUCAGUAAUAACUUGAUCUGAAGUUUCAUGAUCAUCAUCAUUAACUUCCUCACUAAUUGGUGUAGGCGUCGCAGAAACCGGUUUCUAUGAUGAACUAGUUUCCAAUAAGGGAGCAGGUACAGUUACCUCAUCAAGUUUUACUUUUCUCCCACUCACUUCUUUCAAGAGAAACUCCUUCUCCAGAAAAAUUCCGAAUUUAGCAACAAAAGUUUUGCCUUCGGAUCUGUGAUAGAAGGUGUACCCAACAGUUUCCUUUGGGUAUCCUAUGAAGACACAUUUCUUCGAUUUGGGUUCGAGCUUAUCAGGUUGAAGUUUUUUCACAUAAGCAUCGCAGCCCCAAACUUUAAGAAACAACAACUUUGGUUUCUUGCCAAACCACAGUUCAUAAGGCGUCGUCUCAACGGAUUUUGAUGGUGCCCUAUUUAACGUGAAUGCAACCGUCUCUAAAGCAUAACCCCAAAACGAUAGCGGUAAAUCAGUAAGAGACAUCAUAGAUCGCACCAUAUCUAGUAAAGUACGAUUACGACGUUCGAACACACCAUUACGCUGUGGUGUUCCGGGUGGCGUGAGUUGCGAAACUAUUCCGCAUUGUUUCAAAUGAAGACCAAACUCAUAACUCAAAUAUUCUCCUCCACGAUCAGAUCGUAGAAAUUUUAUUUUCUUGUUACGAUGAUUUUCAACUUCACUCUGAAAUUCUUUGAACUUUUCAAAUGUUUCAGACUUAUGUUUCAUUAAGUAGAUAUACCCAUAUCUGCUCAAAUCAUCUGUGAAGGUGAGAAAAUAACGAUAUCCGCCACGAGCCUCAAUAUUCAUCGGACCACAUACAUCUGUAUGUAUGAUUUCCAACAAAUCUGUUGCUCUCUCCAUAGUUCCGGAGAACGGUGUUUUAGUCAUCUUGCCCAUGAGGCACGGUUCGCAAGUACCAAGUGAUUCAUAAUCAAGUGGUUCCAAAAGUCCAUCAGUAUGGAGUUUCUUCAUGCGCUUUACACCGAUAUGACCUAAACGGCAGUGCCACAAAUAAGUUGCACUAUCAUUAUCAACUCUGCAUCUUUUGGCUUCAAUAUUAUAAAUAUGUGUAUCACUACUAUCGAGAUUCAAAAAAAAUAGACCACUCUUCAAGGGUGCAUGACCAUAAAAGAUAUUACUCAUAUAAAUAGAACAACCAUUAUUCUCUGAUUUAAAUGAAUAACCGUCUCGCAUCAAACAAGAUCCAGAUAUAAUGUUCAUGCUUAACGCUGGCACCAAAUAACAAUUAUUUAGGUCUAAAACUAAUCCCGAAGGUAGAUGUAGAGGUAGCGUGCCGACCGCGAUCACAUCGACUUUGGAACCAUUUCCCACGCGCAUCGUCACCUCGUCCUUAGCCAAUCUUCGCUUAAUCCGUAGCCCCUGUUUCGAGUUGCAAAUAUUAGCAACAGAACCAGUACAAAUACUCAGGUGCUACUGCGAGCAUUAGUAAGGUACACAUCAAUAACAUGUAUAUCACAUAUACCUUUGUUCACCUGGCCAUCCUUCUUAUCCGCCAAAUACUUGGGGCAGUUCCGCUUCCAGUGACCAGUCUGCUUGCAGUAGAAGCACUCAGUCUCAGGCUUAGGUCCAGACUUGGGUUUCUUCUCCUGAACAACAACUUGCUUGCUGUUUUUCUUGAAGUUCCCCUUCUUCUUCCCUUUGCCCUUUUUCUUGAAACUAGUGGUCUUAUUGACCAUCAACACUUGAUGCUCCUUUUUGAUUUCUACCUCCGCAGCCUUUAGCAUUGCGAAGAGCUCGGGAAUCGUCUUAUCCAUCCCUUGCAUGUUAUAGUUCAUCACGAAGCUCUUGUAGCUUGGUGGCAGUGAUUGAAGAAUUCUGUCAAUGACGCUAUCAUCCGGAAGAUUAACUCCCAGUUGAAUCAAGUGAUUAUUAUACCCAGACAUUUUGAGUAUAUGCUCACUGACAGAACUAUUCUCUUCCAUCUUGCAGCUAUAGAACUUAUUGGAGACUUCAUAUCUCUCAAUUCGGGCAUUUGCUUGAAAUAUUAACUUCAACUCCUGGAACAUCUCAUAUGCUCCAUGACGUUCAAAACGUCGUUGAAGACCCGGUUCUAAGCCGUAAAGCAUGGCACACUGAACUAUCGACUAGUCAUCAGCUUUGCUCUGCCAGACGUUCAUAACAUCUGGUGUUGCUCCUGCAGCAGGCCUGGCACCCAGCGGUGCUUCCAGGACGUAAUUCUUCUGUGCAGCAAUGAGGAUAAUCCUCAAGUUACGGACCCAGUCCGUGUAAUUGCUACCAUCAUCUUUCAACUUUGCUUUCUCAAGGAACGCAUAAUUCAACGGAACAACAGCACGGGCCAUCUAUCUACAAUUAACAUAGACAAGCAAGAUACUAUCAGGUACUAAGUUCAUGAUAAAUUCAAGUUCAAUUAAUCAUAUUACUUAAGAACUCCCACUUAGAUAGACAUCCCUCUAAUCCUCUAAGUGAUCACGUGAUCCAUAUCAACUAAACCAUGUCCGAUCAUCACGUGAGAUGGAGUAGUUUCAACGGUGAACAUCACUAUGUUGAUCAUAUCUACUAUAUGAUUCACGCUCGACCUUUCAGUCUCCGUGUUCCGAGGCCAUAUCUGUUAUAUGCUAGGCUCGUCAAGUUUAACCUGAGUAUUCCGCGUGUGCAACUGUUUUGCACCCGUUGUAUUUGAACGUAGAGCCUAUCACACCCGAUCAUCACGUGGUGUCUCAGCACGAAGAACUUUCGCAACGGUGCAUACUCAGGGAGAACACUUAUACUUUGAUAAUUUAGUGAGGGAUCAUCUUAUAAUGCUACCGUCAAUCAAAGCAAGAUAAGAUGCAUAAAAAGAUAAACAUCACAUGCAAUCAAUAUAAGUGAUAUGAUAUGGCCAUCAUCAUCUUGUGCUUGUGAUCUCCAUCUCCGAAGCACCGUCAUGAUCACCAUCGUCACCGGCGCGACACCUUGAUCUCCAUCGUAGCAUCAUUGUCGUCUCGCCAAUCUUAUGCUUCUACGACUAUCGCUACCGCUUAGUGAUAAAGUAAAGCAUUACAGGGCGAUUGCAUUGCAUACAAUAAAGCGACAACCAUAUGGCUCCUGCCAGUUGCCGAUAACUCGGUUACAAAACAUGAUCAUCUCAUACAAUAAAUUUAGCAUCAUGCUUUGACCAUAUCACAUCACAACAUGCCCUGCAAAAACAAGUUAGACGUCCUCUACUUUGUUGUUGCAAGUUUUACGUGGCUGCUACGGGCUUAGCAAGAACCGUUCUUACCUACGCAUCAAAACCACAAUGAUAGUUAGUCAAGUUGAUGCUGUUUUAACCUUCGCAAGGACCGGGCGUAGCCACACUCGGUUCAACUAAAGUUGGAGAAACUGACACCCGCCAGCCACCUCUGUGCAAAGCACGUCGGAAGAACCAGUCUCGCGUAAGCGUACGCGUAAUGUCGGUCCGGGCCGCUUCAUCCAACAAUACCGCCGAACCAAAGUAUGACAUGCUGGUAAGCAGUAUGACUUAUAUUGCCCACAACUCACUUGUGUUCUACUCGUGCAUAUGACAUCUACGCAUAAAACCAUGCUUUGAUACCACUGUUGGGGAACGUAGUAAUUUCAAAAAAAAUUCCUACGCACACGCAAGAUCAUGGUGAUGCAUAGCAACGAGAGGGGAGAGUGUUUUCCAUGUACACUCGUAGACCGAAAGCGGAAGCGUUAACACAACGCGGUUGAUGUAGUCGUAUGUCUUCACGAUCCGACCGAUCAAGUACCGAACGCACGGCACCUCCGAGUUCAGCACACGUUCAGCUCGAUGACGUCCCUCGAACUCCGAUCCAGCCGAGUGUUGAGGGAGAGUUUCGUCAGCACGACGGCGUGGUGACGAUGAUGAUGUUCUACCGACGCAGGGCUUCGCCUAAGCACCGCUACGAUAUUAUCGAGGUGUAAUAUGGUGGAGGGGGGCACCGCACACGGCUAAGAGAUCAAUAGAUCAAUUGUUGUGUCUAUGGGGUGCCCCCUGCCCCCGUAUAUAAAGGAGCAAGGGGGGAGGCAGCCGGCCUAGGAGGAGGGCGCGCCAAGGGGGGAGUCCUACUCCCACCGGGAGUAGGACUCUUCCUUUCCUUGUUGGAGUAGGAGAAGGGAAGGGAGAAGGAGAAGGAAGGAAGGGGGCGCCCCCCUCCCUAGUCCAAUUCGGACUAGUCCAUGGGGAGGGGUGCGGCCACCCUUUGGGGCCUUUCUCUCCUUUCCCGUAUGGCCCAUUAAGGCCCAAUACGAAUUCCCGUAACUGUCCGGUACUACAAAAAAUACCCGAAUCACUCGGAACCUUUCCGAUGUCCGAUUAUAGUCGUCCAAUAUAUCGAUCUUUACGUCUCGACCAUUUCGAGACUCCUCGUCAUGUCCCCGAUCUCAUCCGGGACUCCGAACUCCUUCGAUACAUCAAAACUCAUAAACUCAUAAUAAAACUGUCAUCGUAACGUUAAGCGUGCGGACCCUACGGGUUCGAGAACUAUGUAGACAUGACCGAGACACGUCUCCGGUCAAUAACCAUUAGCGGGACCUGGAUGCCCAUAUUGGCUCCCACAUAUUCUACGAAGAUCUUUAUCGGUCAAACCGCAUAACAACAUACGUUGUUCCCUUUGUCAUCGGUAUGUUACUUGCCCGAGAUUCGAUCGUCGGUAUCUUAAUACCUAGUUCAAUCUCGUUACCGGCAAGUCUCUUUACUCGUUCCGUAAUACAUCAUCUCGCAACAAACUCAUUAGUUGCAAUGCUUGCAAGGCUUAAGUGAUGUGCAUUACCGAGAGGGCCCAGAGAUACCUCUCCGACAAUCGGAGUGACAAAUCCUAAUCUCAAAAUAUGCCAACCCAACAAGUACCUUCGGAGACACCUGUAGAGCACCUUUAUAAUCACCCAGUUACGUUGUGACGUUUGGUAGCACACAAAGUGUUCCUCCGGUAAACGGGAGUUGCAUAAUCUCAUAGUCAUAGGAACAUGUAUAAGUCAUGAAGAAAGCAAUAGCAACAUACUAAACGAUCGAGUGCUAAGCUAACGGAAUGGGUCAAGUCAAUCACAUCAUUCUCCUAAUGAUGAGAUCCCGUUAAUCAAAUGACAACUCAUGUCUAUGGCUAGGAAACAUAACCAUCUUUGAUCAACGAGCUAGUCAAGUAGAGGCAUACUAGUGACACUCUGUUUGUCUAUGUAUUCACACAUGUAUCAUGUUUCCGGUUAAUACAAUUCUAGCAUGAAUAAUAAACAUUUAUCAUGAUAUAAGGAAAUAAAUAAUAACUUUAUUAUUGCCUCUAGGGCAUAUUUCCUUCACUCAUGACUUUUUGUGUGUUCAAAAUGCACCAUUCAAAGCCACAUCAUCAAUUUUCAAUACUUUCUGACUUCAUUUGUUAUUUUUCAUGCAUUUACUAAUUAUUUUGAGCUAUAAGACCCUAAAAUUGAAAAGCAUUUCAAAUGAACUCUGAAAAGGUUGAAAGUUGGCAUGGUAUCAUCAUUUCAUCCACAUAGCAUGUGCAAGAAAGUUGAGAGGGUUACGGCAAAAACUGGAUGCACUUCGUGUGCAAAAUAGACAAUCUCUUUCAAAGUAUCACGAUUUCAUACGGAAAUUCGUCUGUUACAAAGGGAUUUCAUUUUUUAUCUUAUUUUAACUCNNNNNNNNNNNNNNNNNNNNNNNNNNNNNNNNNNNNNNNNNNNNNNNNNNNNNNNNNNNNNNNNNNNNNNNNNNNNNNNNNNNNNNNNNNNNNNNNNNNNNNNNNNNNNNNNNNNNNNNNNNNNNNNNNNNNNNNNNNNNNNNNNNNNNNNNNNNNNNNNNNNNNNNNNNNNNNNNNNNNNNNNNNNNNNNNNNNNNNNNNNNNNNNNNNNNNNNNNNNNNNNNNNNNNNNNNNNNNNNNNNNNNNNNNNNNNNNNNNNNNNNNNNNNNNNNNNNNNNNNNNNNNNNNNNNNNNNNNNNNNNNNNNNNNNNNNNNNNNNNNNNNNNNNNNNNNNNNAAAGCAUUUCAAAUGAACUCUGAAAAGGUUGAAAGUUGGCAUGGUAUCAUCAUUUCAUUCACAUAGCAUGUGCAAGAAAGUUGAGAGGGUUACGGCAAAAACUGGAUGCACUUCGUGUACAAAAUGGACAAUCUCUUUCAAAGUAUCAGGAUUUCAUACGGAAACUCGUAUGUUACAAAGGGAUUUCAUUUUUUAAAACUUAUUUGAACUCCUGACUUUUUGUGUGUUCAAAAUGCACCAUUCAAAGCCACAUCAUCAAUUUUCAAUACUUUCUGACUUCAUUUGUUAUUUUUCAUGCAUUUACUAAUUAUUUUGAGCUAUAAGACCCUAAAAUUGAAAAGCAUUUCAAAUGAACUCUGAAAAGGUUGAAAGUUGGCAUGGUAUCAUCAUCCCACAUAGCAUGUGUUAAAAAGUUGAGAGGGUCCCGACAAAAGGUGGAUGCACUUCGUGAACAAAAUGGACAAUCUCUUUCGAAGUAUCAGGGUUUCGGACGAAAACUCAUUUGUUACAAAGGGAUUUUAUUUUCUUGAACUUAUUUAAACUCCAGACUUUUUGUGCGUUCAAAAUGAACCAUUCAAAGCAGACACUGAUUUUGAAUGGUGCAUAUUCAACACACAAAAAGUCUGUAAAGAUCGCCAACCCCAACAUAAUAUAAUGAGCAUAGAUGCGCCUAUAGAGAGAAUUCAACCUAAAUUCAUAAUAAAUUUCUAUGAAUUUCAGAGAAAUUCACUCUGAAUUUAGGUCAAAUUCCCUGUAUAAGGGCAUAUAUUUUCAUUUUGAGAGGAGCUCAACAAGGCAGAGAGGGACGGGCUUAUAAACCGGUGUGAGCGCCCUUCGGUUGGCGUGGUGGGACUAAACUCUGACCGCAACGAGGACCAACCCUUUAGUCCCAGUUUGUGGCACAAACCGGGACUAAUGGUCAUGGGCCAGGGGCGAGGCGCAUUGGUCCCGGUUCGUGCGUGGAACCGGGACCAAAAGGUCCAGACGAACCGGGACCAAUGGCCCACGUGGCCCGGCCGGCCCCCUGGGCUGAUGAACCGGGACUAAUGUACCCCGUGGGUCCCGGUUCGUGCAGAACCGAGACUAAUGGGCUGGCUAGGCCCGAACGAAAGCCCUGUUUUCUACUAGUGCGAGGACGGGGCGCACUUGUUCUUACGCUGCAAACAAGUUAAGAAGGUAUGGCGAGCUAUGCAGCUUGAACCUGAAAGAAAGCGGAUGUGCGCAUGUAGAGAUGCAGGUGAAGUGAUGCAUGAAAUACUCCAUCUACCAGAGCAUAAAGAAGUACUGGUGACAUGCUUGCUAUGGCGGUGGUGGACUUGGCGGAACAAAAUUAAUGCGGGGGACAAGGCGGGAUCUGCGGACAACUUCCCAGCUGAGAUCAAUCAUUGGGACACUGAUUCCCUAGCACUGUGCCGACAGCCUCGUACUGAUAAGCAGCCACAGACAGUGCAGGAGUGGCAGAAGCCUGAGGAAGAUCAUCUGAAGAUCAAUUGUGACGGGGCGUUCUCGGGGCGGCAAGGUACAGGCGGGUGGGGCUUUGUUGUCCGGGACCAUGUGGGCGAUAUCCGAGGCUCUGGAGCAGGGUGCUUACGGCAAGUUGCAUCAGCACUACAAGCAGAAGCAGAAGCGUGCGCGGCGGCAUCUAACUGGGGCAUGAUGAACGUCCAGGUUGAGCUGGACUGCCAGGUUCUAGUCAAGGCUCUACAAGGAUCAGAGAUGGAUCUAGCUGCUGAAGACCUCCUGUUUAGAGAGAUUCGUCAAUUUGCCACACUAAAUUUCAGUCGUGUUGUCUUUUCUUUUGCCCCGAGGGCAUGUAAUAAGCUAGCUCAUGUUUUAGCUGCCCUUGGUGCUAGCCAUCAGGCAAGUGGAGAGACCUGGUAUGAGGAUCUCCCGGAUGAUGUAUCCGUCCGUUUGGCCAGCUCUAUGGCUGGACCUAUGUGAAGUAUGGAAUCGUUGUGUUCCAUUUCAAAAAAAAAUGAUGCUUGCAAUGUAAUUUACUAUAGAGUAAAUUAGUUGUGCAUGAUGGUUACAUGCAAGAUAUGUUUGACAUAUCGAAGAGAGAGUAAAGGGGUACGUAAAAGACUAGACUUCUAUCGAUCCCUUUUUCUGGUAGUCUGACGAGGUUAAGACAAAAUAUCGUCUGGCAAGAUGGGAUAUUAUCUGUCAACCAAAAGACCAGGGGGGGUCUUGGGAUCCACUAGUAGAAAAAGGGUCAAAUGUCAAGCACAUUAGUGCCGGUUUGCUUUUGAGCCGGCACUAAAUGUGUGCAUUAGUGCCGGUUCCAACGGCUAGCCAGCCGCUUUUAUUAGUACCGGUUCGUGGCCGACCUUUAGCACCGGUUCGUGCCAUGGACCGGUACUAAAGUGAGUGGUGGCAGGAUGUUGUCAGUCCGGGGCCCCUCCAGCACCUUUAGUACCGGCUCGUGGCACGAACCGGUGCUAAAGGUCGUCGUACAUAAACCCUUCGUCCACCCGAGCUCGCUCUGUUCUUCCCCUUUCCCCUCUCCUCUCUGUUCUUCCCCUCUUCCUCUCGAGCUCAUCACAUAUUUUGCCCAAAAUUUGUCAAGAUUUGAAGGCCCCCAUCCAUUCAAAUGAUCACAAAGGUUAGCAACUUUGUCCUUUCAUCUCUCAUUGCUAGAUUAGAUCUUGCAAUGCUUUGUAUAGUGAUUAAUUUAUGAGUUUAGUAAUUUGGUAGAAAAUAUAUGUGCUAGUAUUUGAUUUAUAUGCAAUUUGUGGUCAAAACUAACACUUAGUUUGCAUAUGUAGGUGUGGUUUACUUAGUGCCUUCUAAAUCUCCGUCGUAACCACAGUCGAUCGCCCGCACCGUUCCGUCGCCGGCACCACCUUGUGGUGAGCCUCUCGUUCAUGAAUGUUUUACAUUACCAAAUUGAUGUUUGUGUGAUUUGGAUAUAUAGUUACUUGUAUAAUUAUCUUACCUGUACAUUGUUUGUUAUACAUAGUGCCAUGGUUUUGAUAUCCGUCCCCAUCGGCCCUCGUCCUUGUUAUGAUUCGGAUGUGGUAUAUUCUCUUUUAAAACUAGUUGUUGCAUUUCGUGUUUAUGACAAAUUAUGCCCAUCAAGUUGACAUAGAUACUUUUGUCUAGGAGGUUUGUGAACCGGAAAUUCCAACCGACCCUAUUGUCGAGAGGUUAAAUUUAGUUGAAAGAGAAAACGAGUAUUUGAAAGAAAAAUUGAAAAGAAUUGAGGGGGAGAAGAUGGAAUUGGAGUUGCAUGUUGCCGAUGUCGUCGAUGAUCACAAGAUCAAGAUGGAGAAAAUGCGCUUGAAGAUUAGAAAGAUUAGAAAAGAUGCCAUUGAUGGUGAGGCUUGGUAUCAUUAUGCUGUUGGAUCAAUUGUUACCUUAGUUGCGAUCUUGAUCGCAUUUGUUGUUGCAUUUAAAUUCUUUAGUUAGAGAGUUAUUUGUUUGUUGCAAUUAAGUCUUGUAUGAACUUGUAUUAAUUUGGUCUAUUCGGUGUUGUGUAAUGAAGAUGAGCCGACAAUGGAUGUACGAUGACCGAUGCUCUCCCGAGUUCAUUAAUGGCGUGCAAACUUUUCUGCUUGCGGCUGAGGCAAACAAGCGGGCGGAUGGUUUUAUGCCUUGUCCAUGUUUAGUCUGUAAGAAUGAUCACAAUUACUCUACGUCAAGAACCAUUCACGUCCACCUGUUUAAGUCCGGUUUCAUGCCCCACUAUAAUGUUUGGACCAAGCAUGGAGAAAGAGGGGUUAUGAUGGAAGACAAUGAAGAAGAAGAGGACGACGACAACUAUCCUGGCCAUGGGUUCCCUGAAUACGAUGAUACAACAAUGGGGGAAGAAGCUGAGCCGGCAAUGCGGGAAGAAGCUGAAGAAGAGGCAUCAGAUGAGCCCGCUGAUGAUCUAGGUCGGGCCAUUGUCGAUGCAAAGAGAAACUGCGCAAGUGAUUUGGAGAAGAAGAAGUUGCAGCGCAUGUUAGAGGAUCACAAGAAAUUGUUGUACCCGAAUUGCGAAGCUGACAAGAAAAAGUUGGGCACCACACUGGAAUUGCUGCAAUGGAAGGCAGAGAAUGGUGUAUCUGACAAGGGAUUUGGAAAGUUGCUGGUAAUGAUAAAGAAUAUGCUUCCAAAGAACAACGAAUUGCCCGAGAGUACGUACGAAGCAAAGAAGGUUGUCUGCCCUCUAGGGUUAGAGGUGCAGAAGAUACAUGCAUGCCCUAAUGACUGCAUCCUCUACCGCGGUGAGUAUGAGGAUUUGAACGCUUGCCCGGUAUGCAGUGCAUUGCGCUAUAAGAUCAGGCGCGAUGACCCUGGUGAUGUCGAGGGCGAGCGCCCCAGGAAGAAGAUUCCUGCCAAGGUGAUGUGGUAUGCUCCUAUAAUACCACGGUUGAAACGUUUGUUCCAAAACAAAGAGCAUGCCAAGGCGAUGCGAUGGCACAGAGAAGACCGUAAGAAACACGGAAAGUUGAGAGUACCCGCUGACGGGUCGUAGUGGAGAAAAAUUGAGAGAAAGUACGGGAAGGAGUUUGCAGAUGACGUAAGGAACGUAUGGUUUGGUCUAAGCGCAGAUGGAAUUAAUCCUUUUGGGGAGCAGAGCAGCAACCAUAGCACCUGGCCUGUGACUCUAUGUUUGUAUAACCUUCCUCCUUGGUUGUGCAUGAAGCGGAAGUUCAUUAUGAUGCCAGUGCUCAUCCAAGGCCCUAAGCAACCCGGCAACGACAUUGAUGUGUACCUAAGGCCAUUAGUUGAAGAACUCUUACAGCUAUGGAAUGGAACAGGUGUACGUGCGUGGGAUGAGCACAUGGGGGAAGAAUUUGACCUAAAAGCCUUGCUGUUCGUGACCAUCAAUGAUUGGCCUGCUCUCAGUAACUUUUCAGGACAGACAAACAAGGGAUACCGCGCAUGCACGCACUAUUUGGAUGAUACCGACAGUAUAUAUUUGGACAAUUGUAGGAAGAAUGUGUACCUGGGACAUCGUCGAUUUCUUCCGAGCAGGCAUCCCGUAAGAAAGAAAGGCAAGCAUUUCAAAGGUGAGGCGGAUCACCGGACGAAGCCUCGCCACCGUACUGCUGCUGAUGUACAUGAUAUGGUCAAGGAUUUGAAGGUAUUCUUUGGAAAGGGUCCUGGCGGACAACCUGUUCCGAAUGACGCUGACGGACGCGCACCCAUGUGGAAGAAGAAAUCUAUAUUUUGGGACCUGCCCUAUUGGAAAGAUCUAGAGGUCCGCUCUGCAAUCGACGUGAUGCACGUGACGAAGAAUCUUUGCGUGACCCUGCUUGGCUUCUUGGGCGUGUAUGGGAAGACAAAAGAUACACCUGAGGCACGGGAGGACCAGCAACGUAUGCAUGGAAAAGACGGCAUACAUCAGGGUCAUGCCAGCUACGCUCUUACCAAAGAAGAGAAGGAAAUCUUCUUUGAAUGCCUGCUCAGUAUUAAGGUACCGUCUGGCUUCUCGUCGAAUAUAAAGGGAAUAAUAAACAUGGCAGAGAAAAAUUUCCAGAACCUAAAGUCUCAUGACUGCCACGUGAUUAUGACGCAACUGCUUCCGGUUGCAUUGAGGGGGCUUCUACCAGAUAACGUUCGAUUAGCCAUUGUGAAGCUAUGUGCAUUCCUCAAUGCAAUCUCUCAGAAGGUAAUCGAUCCAGAAAUCAUACCAAGGUUAGAGAAUGAUUUGGUGCAAUGUCUUGUCAGUUUCGAGUUGGUGUUCCCACCAUCCUUCUUCAACAUCAUGACGCACGUCCUAGUUCACCUAUGCGAAGAGAUUAGCGUUUUGGGUCCUGUAUUUCUACACAAUAUGUUCCCCUUUGAGAGGUUCAUGGGAGUCUUAAAGAAAUAUGUUGAUAACCGUGCUAGGCCAGAAGGAAGCAUCUCCAAGGGCCAUGAAAAUGAGGAGGUCAUUGAGUUUUGUAUUGACUUUAUUCCUGACCUUAAGCCGAUUGGUGUUCCUGAAUCGCGGCAUAAGGGCAGACUGGAUGGAAAAGGCACACUAGGAGGGAAUCAAAAAAUAUGUAUGGACGGACAUUCUCUCGCUGAAGCACACUACACAGUUAUACAGAAUUCCGUCUUGGUGGCUCCGUAUAUGGACGAACACAAGAAUUUUCUACGCUCCAAACACCCGGAGCGGUCUGAUGACUGGAUUACACGUGAACAAACCAGGAGUUUCGCCGGCUGGUUGCAGACACGUACCAUGCAUGACGCCUCUAUUGAAGAUGACCUGUACUCGCUGUCCCAGUUACCAUCUUCGAAUAUAAUGACUUUCAAAGGGUACGAGAUAAAUGAUAAUACAUUUUACACGAUCGCCCAAGAUAAGAAGAGCACCAACCAAAACAGUGGUGUUCGCUUUGAUGCAACAACCAAGACGGGAAAGGAAACAUAUUAUGGUUACAUAGAGGAGAUAUGGGAACUUGACUAUGGACGUGAUUUGAAGGUCCCUUUGUUUCGGUGCAAAUGGGUCAAUAUGACACGAUAUGGGGUAACGGAAGACCCGCAGUAUGGAAUGACAACAGUGGAUCUCAACAAUCUUGCGUAUGCAGACGAACCAUUCGUCCUAGCUAAUGAUGUGGCACAUGUUUUCUAUGUGAAGGAUAUGUCUACCAAGCCGAGAAAAAGAAAAGAUAAGGAAGCGAAUGCAUCAUACGAUGAGCCAAAGCGCCACAUAGUUCUUUCUGGGAAGAGAAACAUCGUGGGAGUGGAUGACAAGACAGACAUGUCAGAAGAUUAUGAAAAGUUUGAUCAAAUUGCUCCAUUCACAGUGAAUAUUGACCCGAGCAUCCAGUUAAAUGAUGAAGAUUUUCCAUGGCUACGGCGCAAAGGGACAUAUGCGAAGAAAAAGUUUCACACCCAAAGAUCUGGGAUGUGAUCGGCUUCACUAUCAUCAACUUCUUCUGUGUUUCACACCCACGAGGGAAUCUCUGUAAUAGUUAGGGUAGUUAUGUGUUUUGGCAUUUUAAACGCGAAGAAAUUUUAUGUGCAAACAAAUUCUUUCAUGCAUUUACUGAUUUUUUCAGCUAAAUGACCCUGAAAUUGAAAAGCAUUUCAAAUGAACUCAGAAAAGGUUGAAAGUUGGCAUGGUAUCAUAAUUUCACCCACAUAGCAUGUGCAAAAAAGUAGAGAGGGUUACCGCAAAAACUGGAUGCACUUCGUGUAUAAAAUGGACAAUCUCUUUCGAAGUAUCAGGGUUUCGGACGAAAACUCAUCCGUUACAAAGGGAUUUCAUUUUUUAAAUAACCUAAGCAUUACCAAAUUAAAUAUAAUGAUAAAACACACUAAUAUUAAACAUAAAAAAAGAAUCACUAAAAAUCUAUUUUCAAAGUUAAGUUAUUCACGAACUAGUGAUUCACACAAAUUUCAAAUAAUUCAAAAUGUAAACUAUUCAAAUUUGUAAACUACCGGCACUAACAAAAAGUUUGUAAUUUUUUGUACCUAAAGCAAAAAUAUUCCCAAAGAAACUCUAAAUACAGCAAAAAAACAACUCAAAAAUAAAUAAACCAAAAAUAAAUAAAGCAAAAAAAUAAGAAAAUAAAAAAGCCCACCUACUGGGCCAGAGCGGCCUGCAUACGACUAGAAACCCAACCUGUAGUUGGGCCAGGAUGCAGGCCCGCAAGCCCAGUAGGCCCACGGGCAGAGUAGGAGAGGUAGGCCCAGAAGGCCUGCUAUUGAGAGGAGCUCAAUGCAGUGCCCGCGCCGGGGCUUAUAAACUGGUCCUGGCGUUCCUCAACUAGCGAGGUGGGACUAAACUUCUGCGCCCCUCGCCUGGCAGCGCACACCCUUUAGUACCGGGUGGUGGCUCCAACCGGUACUAAAGGGGGGUCUUUAGUACCGGUUGGUGCCACCACCAGGUACUAAAGGGGUGCGCUUCCCGCCGCUUGGGCUGGCCAAAUUUGACCUUUAGUACUGGUUGGUGGCUCCAACUGGUACUAAAGGCCCAUCCUAUAUAAGCAGCACUUAGAAAUUUCGUCAGUUUUCAUCUGCUUCUUCUCCUCUGCCCCGUCGCCCGCCGCUCCCCGUCGCCGCCCCCGUCGCUGCCCCCGUCCCCGCCCCUCGUCGACGCCCCCGUCGCCGCCCCGUCCCCGUCGUCGCCGCCCCGGCCGUCCCCGUCCCCGUCCCCAUCNNNNNNNNNNNNNNNNNNNNNNNNNNNNNNNNNNNNNNNNNNNNNNNNNNNNNNNNNNNNNNNNNNNNNNNNNNNNNNNNNNNNNNNNNNNNNNNNNNNNNNNNNNNNNNNNNNNNNNNNNNNNNNNNNNNNNNNNNNNNNNNNNNNNNNNNNNNNNNNNNNNNNNNNNNNNNNNNNNNNNNNNNNNNNNNNNNNNNNNNNNNNNNNNNNNNNNNNNNNNNNNNNNNNNNNNNNNNNNNNNNNNNNNNNNNNNNNNNNNNNNNNNNNNNNNNNNNNNNNNNNNNNNNNNNNNNNNNNNNNNNNNNNNNNNNNNNNNNNNNNNNNNNNNNNNNNNNNNNNNNNNNNNNNNNNNNNNNNNNNNNNNNNNNNNNNNNNNNNNNNNNNNNNNNNNNNNNNNNNNNNNNNNNNNNNNNNNNNNNNNNNNNNNNNNNNNNNNNNNNNNNNNNNNNNNNNNNNNNNNNNNNNNNNNNNNNNNNNNNNNNNNNNNNNNNNNNNNNNNNNNNNNNNNNNNNNNNNNNNNNNNNNNNNNNNNNNNNNNNNNNNNNNNNNNNNNNNNNNNNNNNNNNNNNNNNNNNNNNNNNNNNNNNNNNNNNNNNNNNNNNNNNNNNNNNNNNNNNNNNNNNNNNNNNNNNNNUUUUUAAGUUAUAGAAAUAUUUAUAGAAAUGUUAGCAAUUUUUCUGUUUUUUAGUUAUAGAAAUAUUAGAAAUGUUAUAGAAAUAUUAGUUAUAUAUAUAGAAAUGUUAGAAAUUUUAGAAUUAGUUUUAGUUAGAUGAAUUAGAUUAAUGUCAAAUUGUUAGAAUUUGCAUAUAGAAUUUUAGUUAUCACAAUCCAAUCAUUUAAAAAAUGUUACUUUUUGCGGGCAUAUAGUAUUUGUUCUCGACGAUGCCCGGCCCGCAUCCUCGCCGUCGACCCGUUCGCGACGACGUCCGGCUGACCCAUGUCCGGGAUUGGGCUCCGCCGGGCUGGCACUGGGAGGUGCUACCUGGAGGGGCGCGCCGCUUGGUGAGGAACCCGGCCUCGGGUCCCGUCGUCGAUCCUGAUCUCCUUUAUUGGCGUUCGCGUGGGCCACAUUCGGUGCAGAGGGAGCCGGCCCCGCCGGAGGUGGUGCGUCGUCGUGUCAGGGAAGACGAGCACGUCCAUCGCUACAUGGCUGCUAUGGACGUCAGGUUCUCCAAUACCUGGCAGGUUCUUUGGGCAGAUGACCGGAGAUAUGAUCCUGUGAUGGUUCCUUAUCUUUGGGUGUCCACCGCCCGCGCCCCAGAAACCGCGAGUGGCCUAGAUUCUUCCACAGUAUUCGAUCUUUAUUAGCUACCUAGCCAGUGAUGUAUUCGAGAUUAUAUAUUAUUCGAGACGAUGUAUUCGAGAUUAUAUAUUAUUCGAGACGAUGUAUUCGAGAUUAUAUAUUAUUCGAGAUGAUGUAUUCGAGACGAUGCAUAUUAUGUACUAUAUGAUUCAGUUUUUCCUUAUUGAUUGCAUCCAUGCAUUGUAAUUUGAAUACUUAAUUGUUUUAUAUUUCUUCUGUAUUAGUUAAAUAAAAGCUAUGGCAGACAAUACCGGCAGAGAGGGAGAAGAGGCCCUGUUCGAGAUCAUACGCAGCCCUAGCAGGCCAGAUGAUAUGAAUGAAGAAAAUUACGGCUCCCAAUAUCUGAACAAUACCGGGGAGGGUGAUGAUAAGAUAUUCGAUCUCGACGAUCGAGCUGAUGAAGUCAUGAACUAUGAUUAUGAUUAUGAUGACGCAGACAAUGAUUAUGAUGACGAAUACAAUGUUGAUCUUGAAAUAACAAAGACUACCGGCGAGGUAUAUUUAUAUAAGCAGGCAUCUAGUGAUCAUCACUUUUUUUUAUUUGAAGAUAUAUUAACGAAUCGAUCUUUCUUCUUUCAGCCCUCCGGAUCGAGCAAAUCUGCUUCUACAGACAGCAGGACAAAGCGCGGCCCGAGAAAAAAGUUGAAGGAGGGUGUAAAGUACAACAUCGAUUCCAUCAAAGCUAGUGGCGAACCCCUCACGCCUAAGAACAUUGCGAGCAAGUUCGUUCGUCAGUGCGGAGUUCUUGUGAAGGACCAACUCCCGAUCUUCAUUCAAGAAUGGAAAGAGCCAAAAACUAAACGCCCAGAUGUUACUUGGGUCGACGACAGAGCAAAACAAAAGCUUUGGGAAUCUCUGAUGGAACAUUUCACCCUACCAGAUUAUUUCACUGAUGCAGAUGUGCAGAAAGUCAGGGACGCUGCUCUUAAGAAGAUGGCAAUUGCAUUCAACACCCACAAGAAAACUGUAUGGGCCAACUACCUCGCUGCAGAAAGGAAGACUCCAGAAUUCAAGGGAACACUGGAGAAGCAAAGAGAACGCUGGCCCGCUUUCGUGAAAUUCAAGGAAUCAGAAUUAUCUAAGGAACGGUCGAGAAAAAACAAGGCCAAUGUCGCAAAAAAUACGCAGUUCCAUAGGCUGGGUCCAGGUGGCUACACGGUGGCAAUGCCUAAGUGGGAUAAGUCUGAGCAAGAGAUGGAGGAUACAGGGGUCACUCCGGUUACUAGGAGCUGGCCCCCCAGGUGCAGAACUUGGUUCUAUGCGCAUGGGGGGGCGUUGGACCCGAAGACAGGCCUGGUUUCGAAGAAGGCAAGUCUAAACGGAGCAAAACAAAAGUUACUUGAAGCAAUAGAAGAUGCUCGAAAGGGGGUGUUCACGCCCAACAGAGAGAACGACGAGCUUACGCGCGCCCUGGGAAAUCCUGAACACCCGGGAAGAACACGAGGCAAGGGCGUUAUUCCCUGGUAUGAGGGCUUUUCGGAAUGGAACGACGACUACAGGACCCGUGCAAGAAAUAAGAUGGAGGAGGAGAAGAAGAGGAAGCUGGAGGAGGAGCAAAGGAAGCAGGACGCGGAACGCCUUCAAGGCCUAGAAGCAAGGCACACGGACUUGGCACUCAAAUUCCAGCAGCAGCAGCAGCAGAUCGACUCACUUAGCCAGGAAAGGGGGUCUCAGCAGCGGCAGCAGCAAGCGAAUGAUCAUCCAGCAUUGGAUAGCACCGUCCCAUCCAUGCCGAGAAGCAGCGUUGGUUCCGCCCCGGGCGACGCACUGCUGGAUACAUACCCUGUGGAUGACAUCAUAAAGAACACUAACUGUGAGCUACACUACAAAAUGAAGAACAUAUCCAUGAAGGUGGCUAACAUCGUUGCUUUUACAAUUACCCCCGAAGCAACCUUCCAUUGCGCCCCGAUUCCAGAGGGCUAUGCUCGUGUCUUGGUUGAUGAGGUGGUGGGCCCAUAUUCGGGGCUAGAGCUUGACAUUCCUGGAGGUGACGACGAGCAAACACUGGGAGAGGCCAUACAUCGUUUCAUCCUAUGGAAAAAGGAUUGCAUCAUCUUUCGAAGUCCACCGACACCGCGUCUGCCGACUCCUCCUCGAAGUCCGCCACUGUGUCAGCAGACUCCCGCUCCUCCAAGUCCGCCACCGUGUCAAGCCACACCUCCUGCUUCAAGUCUGGCACAGCGUCAGGUCACACCUCCUGCUUCAAGUCCGACACCGUGUCAGGCCACACCUCCUGCUUCAAGUCUGGCAUAGUGUCAGGCCACUCCUCCUGCUCCAACUAAGCCACGUCAGCCGUCUCCGCCGCCUAAGCAAUCGCAGAAGAGACAUGCCGCAGCUAUGGUGCGUAGCGGUACGAGUCGAGGUAGUACAGAAAGUACAGGCGGAGACAAGCGAUAUAAAUAUGGUCCAAGCAGCCUCGCUCCUCUUCCUCAGAGGCCUUACGACAUGACCGAGGAGCAAAACGAUGCAAUAGUGCGGGCCGAAGUGGACGCUCAUUUUCGACCGAAACCGGCAACGCCGCCGAGGGAGAAAGUGCCUGAGGAAAAGAUUGACCACUUCAUUCGUAUGGCUAGACCACCAGCUCCCAAGCCUGUUGACUCGGACUAUGAGCGCCAAAUCAAGAAGGCACAUCGAGCACGACUACAGAAAGAAGCGAGCUCGAGCUCGAGCCAACAAGCAGCUGUCAAAAAAUGCGGGAAAACCGUUCCCCAGCUGGGAGAACAGGCGGCGCAAUCAACCCCCCCGCUUGUUGUGCCAACAACACAUGAGAGUAUGCGCGCCCAAUAUUAUUGUGGGCAAACCGUUUACGUUCCCGAGCUGCGCGAUGUGGUAAUAACCGAGGAGCAUAUAAUGCAGGCUGAAAUGCUCAAGAUCACUGUUGGACAACUCCUUGAGAUCGAGCCCAUGCCUCCGCUUAGAGAGGAGGAAAUAAAGCAGAAAUAUAUCCGGGGCCAACCUUUGGUCGAGCCCGAGGAGGCCAAGAACCUCCCAACGAGAAUGUAUGAAUUGCAUGAUUGGUAUAUGAAAAUUACCAAGAUUUCCAAUCGAGAGUCCCUCAUGGUGCAAGUCAAGGAAGAUCAUUACUUCCAUAAGAAAGCUCUGGCCAUUGAGUAUUCAGAACUAUUUCAGCUAUUCAAUCAAGAUGCACUCGACAAAUCUAUCGUCAGUUGCUAUUGUCUGUAAGUGAUUUCUUUCUGUAAUUUAAGUCUCAAGCUAGCUCUAGUUCUUAUUGAUUGAUCAUUAAUUACCUGUAAUUAUAUAUCCCCACUAUAUAUUCUUUUCUGUGGUAUUAUGCAGGAUGAAGAUGUAUGAAAUGAAAAAAGCUGGACGCUAUGGCAUUGGGUUCAUUGACCCAAAUACCGUUAAUGAAUACACAUGGAAAUUGGAAUGGUGUAGACAAGAUGUAGAGAAAUGCAUGCUAGAGUUCUUGAAGCGCCUCAAUCGCAAUGAAGAUAUACUACUUCCUUACAACUUCGAGUGAGUCACACUGUCUUGUACUAAAAAUUCUGUUUUUGCUUACUAGCUAGAUGUUAAUAAGUGUAUAGGGUUUAGGGUUAUAGUUGAUUAGUGUUAUGCACAUGCCUGCUUAAUUUAUACAUGUAAACGUAUGCGCAUGCAGCUUCCACUGGAUCUUGUUAGACAUUAAAGUUGACGAAGGAAAAGUUGAAGUACUAGACUCACUACUUAAAAAAAUAGUGACUACAGCAUCGUGAAGGGGAUAGUCGACAGGUUAUUUCAAUCAUUAUUAACUAUAUCUCGGCCUAUUUAGUUCGUCAUUUCCUGAUAUGAACUAUUUUUAAUAACCCCUUUAUUAAUUUUCUUUGCCGGCGAGCAGGGCUUGGGCAAAGUACAUCAAGGUGACUCCAGGAAAAUGGCGACAAAAGCUAUGUUGGUAUCGACCCAAGGUAAGUAAUUAAGUAGUACUAGCUAGCUAGCUACCAUCUCUUUAAUUCUUGUUUCAAUACCAUUAAUUAAUUAACAUGCUUGAUUAAUUAUUAUCUGAUUAAAUUCUAUUGUCGUAAAGGCCCUGAAGCUGGCGCCGGGGACUGAAGUGUGUGCAUACUACGUUUGCGAGAACAUUCGCAUGAUGGCGUCCGAAAGGAGCAGAUCUGAUAGACAGGACUGGAUACGUUUGCCAGAACACUAUUCACAAAUCUUACAUGAUUGUCGAUAUCUAGUCACACAACUAAUACACAUGCAUAUUGAUCUCCUUCUUAACAGUUCAAAGAGGUGCGGGACAAGCUCCUAUCAGAGGAGCGCAUACGAGCACUUCAAGAGGAAAUAGCGGGAUUUUUGCUCGACCAGGUCAUAGAUCCCAAAGGAGAAUACUAUUACCCGCUACCGCCCACAUGAACCACUUGUCAUCGUGCUCCGAAGGCACCAAGGCAACAUGUAGGAGAAAUUGUAUAUAUAUAUACAUGUGUAUGUGUGAAUAAUUAAUGGUGGUUGUGAGACAUUCGAUUAUAUAUAUAUAUGAUCGGUUCUACGAGAAAAUCUAUUUAUAUAUAUGCAUAACGUGUACAAUAUGUAGUAUCGUAAAAAUACCAGCAAACAAAAAAGAAUUAAAUGGAAAACACAAAAUUAAUGGAAAAAUAAAAAUUAAAACCAAAACCCCCCAAACAUUUAGUAUCGGUUGGUGCUACCAACCGGUACUAAUGGUCUACCAGCACCUGGGCCUGGCUCGUGCCACGUGGUGGCACUUUAGCGCCGGUUCGUGCCGAACCGGUAGUAAAGGGGGGGGGGCUUUAGUCUCCACUCCAUAGUGCCGGUUGCAGAACCUGCACUAAAGGCCCUUAUGAACCGGUGAUAAAGGCCUGUUCUGCACUAGUGAUCGAGAACCUCGAAAUUAAAAACAAGUGCCUACUGAGCAAAUGGCUCUAUAGAUUAUUACAUGAACCCGAGGGUAUGUGGGCACAAAUCCUAAGAAAUAAAUACCUACACUCUAAAACUCUUGCUCAGGUGACCGUACGACCUAAUGAUUCACCAUUUUGGAAGGGUCUCAUGAGAGUGAAAGAAACCUUCUUCCAUAGGGUGAAAUUCAUAGUUGGGGACGGAACAACAACAAGGUUUUGGGAGGAUACUUGGUUAGGCGACACACAGCUAGCUCUCCAAUAUCCUUCCCUGUAUCAUAUUGCUCAACGUAAAGAUGAUUACAUAGCAACGGUUUUACAGACGGUACCUUUGAAUAUCCAGUUCAGGAGGUCCCUAGUAGGGAAAUGAUGGGCUUCCUGGUUACACCUAGUGAGGAGGUUGAUGGAUGUUCAACUCUCUGAUCAGGGAGAUGCAUCGAACUCGAAGUUAACGAGUAAUGGAGUGUUUACGGUCAAAUCGAUGUACUUAGAUCUCAUUAACUCUGGCCCAAUCCCAAGAUCGUUACAUAUUUGGAAAGUUAAGGUUCCUGUUGAGGAUAUAGACCUUAGAGUCACCGGCCAGGAGGGGCCGGGUCACUCGCGUGGUCAUUGCCAGGAGCCCGGAGCCAAGUUUGAAGACGAUGGGCCAGAGAUGGGCUGAGACCCGGAUAUGGCUUAAGGCCCGUAGUUACAAUCAUUAUUAUAGUAGAACUUGUAGUGUAAGGCAAGUAUAGUUGAGAGUCCGAGCCGGACACUCUUAUGAGCCGGCCGGGACUCUAAGGGCUGCUGGGCGUCAGCCUCCCUAUAUAAAGGGAUGACGCGGCAGUGGUUUAAGGGCGACAACAAUCUCAUCGAGAGCCGGGCAUAGCUAUUUAGCUCCCUGGUGAUCGUAACCCUAAUCAAUAUCACCUCAAACUGGACGUAGGCUUUUACCUUCACCGUAAGGGGCCAAACCAGUAUAAACCCUCGUGUUCCUUGUCCCGCAUAACCCCUUCAAGCUUCCUAGCUGCGAUGGCUCCAUGACUAAGUCCUAGCUCGAGGACAUCUGCCGUGACAAUUCCACGACAGUUGGCGCCCACCGUGGGGCCAGCGCACGGUGGAUUUGAGUUCUUGAAGGGCAGCUUCGAAGGGCUCAAGGGAUACGCUGUGGGCCGGAUGACCAAAAGUCGUCGCGGCAAGCUCUACAUCGACGAUGCAAACUGGGGCCCCGAAGCCGGCUCAAUUGAGUACGGGUACCGGGUCCCCUUCGGCGGAAUUCAUGUUUUCAUUGGCAAGAUUGGUGAGCCGGGCCCUGAGCCGGGUCUCUGCGCUGGUCUCGUCGAGACGGCUCAGCUUGCGCGACCCGCCCAGGCCCGGCCUGCCCUAAGGCAUGCUUUUGUGGGGUGUAUCCAGGGAGGACUCUCCGAUCAAUCUAGAUCUGGGGAUGGGACGGCCGCCGGCUCUGACAGCGAGUCGGCCACCGAUGAGUCAAACUCGUUGUACCAACUUCAAGAUGGCAGGCUCAUGGGUUGUUCCGAUGGUGAGAGUAUUCCAGACCUUUUUGAGCCGCCAAGUCAGGUUGGAGUUUUUAUGACUGGUGCGCAGCCUGUUCAGAACCCCGCUGCUGGAGCGGAAAACCCGGUGCCUUCUCUGGCUCAGAUGCUAAUGGAUCUCACGGACAAGAUGACGGCCCUGUUAACCGCCACGGUUGACCCGGCGGAUCAAGCUCAGCAUGAUGCGGAGGUGGCACAGUUAAAAUUGGAUCUGAUAAAAGCUAAAGAGGAUCUUGCAGCGGAAGGGAUUAGGCUGGCUGCGGAGCGGGCGGCUCUCGAUGCCCGGACUCAGCUGAUUCAGGCGCAGUCCUUCCAACUCACGAUGGAUCAGAACGCGGCCAAUGAGGUCAUGAGAAGGAGGCAUCAAAAGGCCCAGUCCCGACUCCCACCGGUUUACGAUCCACGCAACCUCUUCAACACGCCAGGUGCAGGGUCUAGUAACCCGCCAGGGGUCAUAGCGCCCGGGUCUGGACCCCUUAUUCAGCCACGAGUGAUGGGGCCUCCCCAGGUGCCCCCUGCCCCGCCUCAGUAUGUGCCAAUACCCCCGGGUCAUUAUAAUAACCCGCUGGAGAACAUGGUAGCUGCGGCAGCACGGCUGGCGGCUCUCCCCGUUGACGGCGACUCUCCGACGGCCAUCAAAACCCGCCGGGUCAGGGAACUCCUGCAGACGGCACUGGCACAGCAAGAGGCGUACUCCUACAGCCGGGAUAGGAUCCACUCGACCCCUCGUCCGGGUCAGAGCCCGAGUUACAGCCGGCACAUGGUCUUAGCAACCGGCUCAAGCAAUGUCCGACGCCAUGACCCGCCCCCUGGCCAUGGCCCGGCUCAUAAUGGAGCCUUUUACGCAGCAGACCAGGACAAAGCGCGCCAAGAGGUGGAGCAAGUACCCCAAUUGACGGCUUACCAGACCCCCCGGCUUAUCCAACGACUUCCGUUGAUGUGGGUAUCCCUACCAGGACCGGGGGGGUCCCUUGUUUGGUGCCAGCUAUCCGUAAUGAACGUCUACCUAAGGACUUCAAAGGCCCUAGGAAGGUGCCUAACUACACAGCUGACUUACAGCCUGCAGCCUGGAUUGAGAGUUAUGAGAUGGCUAUGGAAUUGCUGGAGGUCAGUGAGGCGGCCAUGGCCAAGUAUUUCACCAUGAUGUUGGAUGGAACUGCCCGCACGUGGUUGAAAGGGCUACCACCGAAUUCCAUUGGGUCUUGGGCUGAGCUGAAAGCCCGGUUCAUCCAAAACUUCAAAGAUACCUGUAGGCAGUCUAUGUCAAUUGUGGAUUUGACUAACUGUAAGCAGCAGGAGGGUGAAUCCACGACCCAUUGGGUUCGCCGGGUCAAGGAGAUCAUACAUUCAUCAGAUAAGAUGGAUGCCGGCUCUGCAGUCUUAAUGUUGGAACAGAACUGUCGCUUUGUGCCCCUAAAGAUGAAACUCGGGCGGCUUAAACGCGACUGCACCGAUAUGGGUACAUUAAUGGCGGCUCUUGUCAACUACGCCGAUUCCGAUGGUACUAAGGAUCCCCCUUCAGAUGAUGAAAGGACAGGGAAGGGAAAGAAGAACGGCAAUGGCAAGAGUCCUCAGUUUAACCCGGGGAACCAAGGGAAAGAAGAUCGGGCGCAAUGUUCACGCUUACGUGGAUGAUAUUGUGGUUAAAUCCAUCAAAGAGGAAACCCUGAUAGAUGAUUUAAGGGAAACCUUUGAUAAUCUCCGGGUCUAUAAGAUGAUGCUUAACCCGGCCAAGUGUGUCUUUGGUGUUCCUGCAGGCAAACUCUUGGGCUUCUUGGUUUCUGACAGAGGCAUUGAGGCUAACCCGGAGAAAAUCAAGGCCAUCACCUCCCUGGCUAAGCCGGCGUGUAUAAAUGACGUUCAGCGCUUGGCGGGUCGCAUCGCUGCGUUAAGCCGGUUUAUAAGCCGUUUGGGUGAGAAGGCCAUGCCCUUAUAUCAGUUGAUGAAGAAAACUGAUAACUUUGUCUGGAAUGAUGUAGCUAAUACCGCCUUUGAGGAUUUGAAAAACCAGCUGGCAGAGCCCCCAGUCCUUGCUGCUCCGGUUGAUAAGGAGCCCUUACUACUGUAUGUGGCGGCAAAUGCACGAGCCGUCGGUGUGGCUAUUGUGGUGGAGCGCAAGGAGGAGGGUAAGGAGCAUCCGGUUCAGCGGCCGGUUUAUUAUGUCAGCGAAGUGCUCAUUGAGUCCAAGCAGCGAUACCCGCAUUGGCAGAAGCUGGUAUAUGGUGUAUUCAUGGCAAGCCGGAAACUUAAGCAUUAUUUUCAGGGUCAUCCCAUCACUGUGGUCAGCUCUGCUCCCCUUGGCGAUAUCAUUCAAAAUAGAGAGGCCACAGGGAGAAUUGCUAAGUGGGCUAUAGAACUUGGACCUCAUGGUCUCAGAUAUGUGCCACGCACUGCUGUUAAAUCUCAGGCCUUGGUGGAUUUCAUGAAUGAUUGGACAGAGUCGCAAGUGCCCGAGCAAAAGCCGGAUAACACUUAUUGGACUAUUCAUUUUGAUGGGUCCAGGCAGUUGGAGGGCUCGGGGGCUGGCGUUGUAUUGGCUUCCCCUAAGGGUGACAAGUUCCAUUAUGUGUUACAGUUGAUGUUUCCUUGCACUAACAAUGCGGCUGAGUAUGAAGCCUUGCUCCACGGUCUUCGGAUGGCUAAGGAGAUGAGCUUAAGCCGGGUAAGGUGCUUUGGUGACUCAGACUUGGUGGCUCAACAAGUAUCAGGCAAGUGGGACUCUAAGGAUCCUCUCAUGGCGGCUUAUCACCGCGAGGUUGAUGCCAUUGCUGGGCACUUUCAGGGCUACCAAGUGGAGCACAUUGAUCGCAGGAAGAAUGAGGCGGCUGAUGCUCUAAGCCGGCUGGGCUCUCAGCGAAAGCCGGUGCCGCCUAACACUUUCCUGGACGUCCUGUAUAACCCUUCGGUUAAAUUGCCUACAGAGGAAGACUUGGCUAUCCCUAACCCGGAGGCACGACUGGUGGCGGCUCUUCAUGUCAUACCAGACUGGACAAUGCCAUAUCUGGCUUAUAUAACCCGGGGAGAGUUGCCUGAGGAUGAAACUUUGGCCAGGCAAAUAACCCGGCGGGCUAAGUCAAUGAUCGUUAUCGAUGGCGAGUUGCAUCAUCGCAGUGUUACAGGGGCAUUUUAGCGUUGUGUCUCCCCUGAGGAAGGUCAAGAGAUCUUGCGUGAGAUCCAUGAAGGGGAUUGUGGCCAUCAUGCCGGCUCAAAAUCCCUCGUAGCCAAGGCUUUCCGUCAUGGUUUUUAUUGGUUGACGGCUCAUGCUGAUGCAGAGGACUUGGUCAGUAAAUGUGAUGGUUGCCAAAGGUUCUCACGACGGGCUCACGUGCCGGCUCAGGAGUUGAGGAUGAUCCCAAUCACUUGGCCCUUUGCGGUCUGGGGGCUUGAUAUGGUGGGGCCUUUUAAACGGUCCAAGGAUAAGAAGACCCACCUCUUGGUGGCAGUUGACAAAUUCACAAAGUGGGUGGAAGCUGAGCCAGUUAGCAAGUGCGAUGCAGCCACGGCGGUUCAAUUUAUGAAAAAGGUGAUUUUCCGCUUUGGCUUUCCGCACAGCAUUAUAACUGACAAUGGCACCAAUCUUUCCAAAGGCGCCAUGGAAGAGUUUUGUCAAUGAGAGCAUAUCCGACUUGAUGUUUCUUCAGUGGCUCAUCCUCAAUCCAAUGGUCAAGCUGAGAGAGCUAAUCAGGAGAUUCUAAAGGGCAUCAAGCCCCGGCUUUUGGUCCCUUUCCAACGGACGCCGGGUUGUUGGGUGGAGGAGUUGCCCUCCGUCUUAUGGAGCAUCAAUACUACUCCUAACAGAUCUACAGGCUUCACGCCUUUCUUCAUGGUUUAUGGAGCAGAAGCAGUCCUCCCCAGCGACAUCCGUCACGACUCACCUCGCGUGGCGGCUUACGUUGAGACGGAUAAUGAACAGGCGCGCCAAGAUGCUCUUGACUUGUUGGAUGAACAGCGUGAUGUGGCAGCAGCCCGGUCAGCGAUUUACCAACAAGACCUGCGCCGUUAUCAUAGCCGCCGGGUCAAAUCCCGGGUCUUCCAGGAAGGCGACCUUGUGCUCCGGCUCAUUCAGGAUCAAACAGAUGCACACAAGUUAUCCCCACCUUGGGAAGGGCCCUUUGUGGUCAGCAAGAACUUGCACAACGGGUCAUAUUACCUCGUUGACAUUCGGGAGCACAAAAAUUCACGUAAGUCUGAGGAAGAGACCCGUCGGCCGUGGAACAUAGCUCAGCUUCGGCCUUACUACACUUGAGCCACCGGCUCUCGUGGUGUACAUAUUUCUCUCAGCCAUAUAUAUAUUAUGAUAAGCAAUAAAGCAGGACCUCUGUCCUUUUUUCUCCUCCAAAAAUGCACGUGUUGUUUUUAUUACAAGAUUACAUGAUGACUUAAAGGAGGAUCCGGCUUAUGAUCGUAUUCGAAUCUAGCCGUAAGCAGUAAAGUCACUUGGGGGCUUCCUGUUCAAACAUGGGUCGUAUUCGAACCAAAGAGAACAUAGCUGUCGAUACCCAUUUGAUUGGCAAAGUGCCGAGCUCAUUGGGAGGUUACCUUUGGUCACAUUUGAAUCAUAGGUUAACCCCUCUGAGAAUCGACGUGGAUCGUAUUCGAAUCAGCGUCGUUAAACAAUUUUAAAAAUCAAUUGGGGGCUUCCUGUUCAAACAUGGGUCGUAUUCGAACCAAAGAGAACAUAGCUGUCGGUACCCUCUUGAUUGGCAUCGCCACACCCGCUGGGGGCUAUAUGAUCGUAUCCGAAUCUUGGCUUAACCCCUUUGGGCCGGGUUUCUGGUCGUAUUCGAACCGGAAGCCCCUAAGUUCUUCUGCUUUAUCACAAGUUUACUCUGAUUAUGACAAGGUGUGCAUGGCCGGGUCUCACUUUGCCGGCUUAACUUUGGUUUACAAGUGUUAGUUGAACAUCAUGGGUGUCAUCAAGGCAAGUAAAUCAGAGUUAAGGUACCAACCGUGCUACCCGGGUUAUUUAAGCCGGAAGUAUGCUUACAGGCCGUUAAGUGUGUUAUUACGGCUAUGUUAAGGGUAUAAUUAAGGACCAGUCUUUUUUGAUUCAUAUUCCGGGUGAUCUAUCUCAAACACCUGAUUCUCAGGGCGGUAAGCCGCCUUGAGACUUGUGAUUUGCCUUUCUAUGCAGGAUACUUAAAGGUACCUCUUUGAGGUUGAGAAAGACAAAGGGAUGAUUAUGACCCGGAGAAACAUUAAAGAGACAACUUCAAAAGACCUUGGCAUUCAAUACGUGCACGAUGGCACGGCAGAGAUAGACUGUUGCACCUAAUUUAUUACAAAAUUCAUCAAAUCUAACAAGGGUGGAGCAUUGUUUGAUAAACCGACAGCCGAGUUACGAUGCCCGCUGAGUGGAAGUCUCUGGCUCGUUCCUGUCCUCUCCUCCGGCUGAUCCCAAGACUUGGAAGGUUGAUGACUUCCAAUCGAUGCCGCUGAGAGCCUCGAACUGGGCUUCCUCGUCAAUUAACCCGGCCGGGUCAAUCUCCGGGGCGAAGGUGUGCUGACGAGCCGGCGGGAUCAGGUCGAGGGCUUCAUAGCGAGGGGUUGGAAUCCUCUGAUUUUCCGCGUCAUAACCCGGCUGGUAUUUGGUCAGAUCUGUGUCAUUCCCGAUGAGGGUGGCCACCGGGCGUACAGCCUUCACGCACGUCGCGAAGUCCUUCUGAUCGAAAGCUGAGCCGUCUUCCUUCAGGCUCGGAUAACCCAGGGUGAUGUCUGCCAGGUCUAGCUCCGGCAGGAAUGCCUUGGCUCGGCUCAGCGCGGCGAUUGCUCCGGCUCUCGCGGAGGCCCGUCGCAGCUCUUGGAUCCGCUGAGGCAGAACGGCGAGCCGGCACAGGACUUCGGCCAGAUGAGUUGGCACCUCGUUGGAUAGGGCCACCACAGCUAAGGCACGCUGUGACCCGCUGUAGAGCUGCUCCACCAGGGUAUACACGGCCUUUAGCUUGGUGACCAUGCUCUGGUUGAGAUUGGCGCUUCUGGGACCUGUUUAAUAGAAUCAGAUAAGCCGGCGGCAAGGAUGAACAAUGAGAUAUAAACAUUCCAACAUUGAUGAAAGCUGGUGAGGCGACUUACCAAAGAUGGCGUCCACCAUUUGGGAAACCUGGCGCUUUAGGCCGGAGAGCUCGGCGGUCUUCUCAGAGAGAGCCUUCUCCGCCUGUUCUGCCCGGGUCAUCAGUGCGGCCUUCUCUUCGGCCCAGGCUUUUCUCUCAGCAUCAAACUCGGUCUUCAACUUCUCUUGAGUGGCGAUGCUGGAUACAAACUUGGUGUUUGCCUUCCGGGUCUCCAUCUCCUGCAUCUUCAGUCGGCUCUUGAGAUCCGCAAGGUCCGCCUCUAGCUUCUUGCCCACAGCCUGUAUAAAUUUCCGGGUUAUGAGCAGUUACUAUUUAAGUCCCAAGCACUUUCCAAGCAAAGACACUUGGCACUUGGGGGCUAAUGCAUAUUGAAUGUAUCUAUUUACAUACAGCCGGCUCAAUUGAGUAAGCCGGAACCUAAGUCUACAACAUAUUCAAGCAUAAGUCGUCGACUUGGGGGCUAGCAUGGCAAAGGUAACUAUGCAGUAAGUAAGAAGACAGCAGAAGGAUACCUCCGAUUUUUGUUGGAUCUGGUUUACCAUGGCGACCUCCGCGUCCCGGCUCUUGUGCACCUGGCUGAUGUAGCCAGAGACGAGCUCUCCAAUGCUCAAGUUGGUGUAGUCGGAGAGGUCCAGGUUCACCCGGUGGGGCUGCAGCAACUCCCCCUUCGCGGAGCACUUGGCCAACACGGUCGGUCUCCCCGGCUCAACAAACUCCAUCUGGGUGAUUACCACGUCCGGGUCGUCUGCUGGCGGAGCUGAGCCGGAGGCCUCCGGGUUAACCGAAGCUUCGGUCGUUGCCUUGGUAGUCGGGGCAGUGGCCUCAGGUGCCGUGUCCAUUGGAGUGGUGGCUUCGUGGGCGGAGGCAGCUGGCGGCUCUUGAGCCGUCACCUCCGGUUCAGGUAAGUCCGGCACUCCGCCUGACCUGGUCUUCUUCACUCUUUUGGUGAGCUUUGCCUGGGCGCUGAAAGGACAGAAACAUUCAGCACAAAGAGAGUAAGUACAGACAAGUAUAAUGAGAGAUGGUUGUCAUUACCCGGGCGCGGUCUUGAAAGUCGGAAGACUCGACUGCAUAGAGUCGCCCGAAGAAGGGGAGGUCUCCUGAUAAUUGGAGUCAGAAGAAUUGAGUGGCUGACGGAUAACACCCGCCAACGGAUGAAAAGGGUACAAGUGAGAAAAAACCUCAGUUCGACGCUUCCUUGUUGCGUCGGGUAACCCGGCGGAGAGAUCGGUGUCCUUGUUGGUCCGGGUGUGACGCCGGCUUUCAUGAACCUGUCGCUUCAAAAUAAAUUGAGGGUCUUGGUAAGCUAAAGGAUGUGAAAAGCUUACUUUCUGGGUUACCCUUCGGACUUUCAGCUGUGGCAAGGGCUCCGAGUCGGAGGAAAGUGACAUUACCUCUUCAACCACCGGGUUACUGGCGCCGGUGUCAUCCUGUCAAUGAGCAAGUGUUGAUAAGGCGGAUAGCAACAAACAACAGAUACAGCAAGAAUUUAAAGGCUUAGGGGUUAUCUCUGACUCGGAGUUGUCGCUUAAUUGCAUCAGCUCCGAAGCAGUAGGUCUGCUUCCUUUUUUGCGAGGGGCGGCUUUCUUCGCCUUCCUGGCCUUCUUGGCCGCCUCAUGGUCAUAUUUGACCCGCCAGAACUUAUCAUCAGCCUGAAAAAUACAAUGAUGGAUUCUUAAAACGGUUCAGAUGAAGGUUAUAUGCAGACGAAGAUAAAAGUUAAAGUCAGCGGCUUACCGCUGGGGCUGGAUUGGUCUUGCAGAAGGGGGCUAACCCGGUCCUUCUGCAGUCUGCCAGGCUCUCGUUUAAAAGAGCCUUGGUCUCCUCCUCUGCAAUGUCUUCUGGAAGAUCAUUGCGACUGUGCCUCUGAGGGUCAUCCUUUCGCCCGGUGUAUUCACACAUUAAGCCGGGGCGGCGGCUCAAUGGGAUCACCCGCCAUGAGAUCCAGACCCGGACCAGGUCGAUUCCGUUCAGACCGUUGCCCAGGAGGGCCUUGAUUUUAUUGAUAGUAGGAAGCAGAGGCUGGCGCUCCGCUGGAGUCAGCUUGUCCGACAGUGGGUGAGUCGGCUUUAGACGUGUUGGGCGAAAGCCGGGCAGCGGGCUUUCGUCAGCCGGGGACGUUUCUUGGCAGUAGAACCAAGUCAUGUUCCAGUCCUUGGGGUGGCUCGGCGGCUCUGCAUAAGGGAAUAGACAGUCCCUACGCCGCUGGAUGGAAAUGCCACCUAGCUCCAGACUUGGCCCGUUGGCGCACUCAUUCUGGCGGUUUAAGUAAAAAAGCUCUCUGAAGAGCAACAGACUAGGUUCUUCUCCUAGGUAAACUUCGCAGAAGACUUGAAAAUUGCAGAUGUUGGAUACGGAGUUGGGUCCUAUAUCUUGAGGCCGCAAGUCGAAGAAGUUGAGCACGUCCCUGAAAAACUUUGAGCCGGGCGGUGCGAAGCCCCGGCUCAUAUGAUCUGCGAAAAUCACCACCUCCCCGUCCUUUGGCUAUGGUCUCUCUUCCGACGGGUCAGGGGCACGGUAGGACAUGAUUUCCUUCUUAGGAAAAUAUCCGGACUUAACAAAAUUGGCUAGGGUCUCGUUGGUGACGUUGGACCUCAUCCAGUUGCAAGUGAUGGGAGCCUUGGGAGGCAUGGUGAAAGUUGGUGGUCUAUGACAAAAAGGAAAAAUGUCCGGGUUAAUUAUAAGCCGGAGAUCUACAGUUCAAAACUACGGUGGCGGCUUAUGAAGGGGACUAAUGGUAUAUACUCAAAUACAGUGGGUUAUUUAAGCCGGAAGAUUCUAUGAAGCAUGGUUUCUUUUAAACCGGAAGAUUCUACGUCGCGUGGUUUCUUUAAAACGGAAUUGUAAGCCGCCAAGUUUCAAUGGUUGCAGUUUUUACUAAGUGUGGUAAAACAGGUUUCACGUAUCGCAGUAACUUUUUUGGAUCAAAAUAGUCGGGUGAAAUGAAAAUUUUCUAGACCUAGAAACAGACGAGCGGAUGUUCUUGAGCUCGAAUGAAGCAUUUAUGCAGUAGAAGAGAUCUACGGGCAUUUGAAAUGAGUCCUAAACAACUGCCGCACUGGUUCUAUACAAGACUAAAAAUCAAGCAAGGGCAGUGACUAGGAGAACUACCGAAGCUUGUGGCAAUGGCGAUGAACACGAAGAACGUGGAUGAACUCUACUGCAGAUCUACUCUACGGGAUGGAGAGAACUUACCGGAGCUGAAGAGGUGCGGGAGUCGCCGCCGUUUAUCUGGUUCGAGUCAGGGUGAUGCAGCGGCCGAGGUUGACGAAGACCGGAGGCGAGACGACGGCGGCGGAGUGCGAGCUCAGUGAGAAAGGCAGCGGCGCGAGGAGGAAGAAGGGAGCGUGAGAAGAGCCAGUCGGGCCGGCCUAUUUAUAAGGCAAGGUCAUAAGUGGGCGCGAGAUUCAAGGAGACCACAGCGUGGUUAUCUCCCCCCGCGACGCCUCGAUUUUCGGAAUGACAGUAAAAGCAAAGAUCCGUUGCGGAUCUGGCGGAGUAAAAAACGGAUUUAAUGGAGGGUGACGUCACGGCGGAUUAUCCGGAGUCCAGAGGAUGACGUCACUCCGGGUUAUGGCCUUCACAUGAAUGGUAAGCCGGAGAUUUUUCUGUCAGAAGAGUUGAAGAUUGACAUGAGCCGGCUCAAAUCAAUCUGGGGCCUAAUGUUGAGGAUAUAGACCUUAGAGUCACCGGCCAGGAGGGGCCGGGUCACUCGCGUGGUCAUUGCCAGGAGCCCGGAGCCAAGUUUGAAGACGAUGGGCCAGAGAUGGGCUGAGACCCGGAUAUGGCUUAAGGCACGUAGUUACAAUCAUUAUUAUAGUAGAACUUGUAGUGUAAGGCAAGUAUAGUUGAGAGUCCGAGCCGGACACUCUUAUGAACCGGCCGGGACUCUAAGGGCUGCUGGGCGUCAGCCUCCCUAUAUAAAGGGACGACCCGGCAGCGGUUUAAGGGCGACAACAAUCUCAUCGAGAGCCGGGCAUAGCUAUUUAGCUCCCUGGUGAUCGUAACCCUAAUCAAUAUCACCUCAAACUGGACGUAGGCUUUUACCUUCACCGUAAGGGGCCGAACCAGUAUAAACCCUCGUGUUCCUUGUCCCGCAUAACCCCUUCAAGCUUCCUAGCUGCGAUGGCUCCACGACUAAGUCCUAGCUCGAGGACAUCUGCCGUGACAAUUCCACGACAGUUCCCUUGCGUAUUAAAUUUUUUAUGUGGUUUGUGCACAAGCAAGUGAUCCUCAUCAAAGAUAACUUAAUAAAGCGGCAAUGGGUAGGUAGUUCAAGAUGUUGCUUUUGUGUUCACGAUGAAACAAUUCAACACCUAUUUAUUGAUUGCCCUCUCGCGAAGUUACUUUGGAGGUCUGUCCAUAUACCCUUUAAUAUUACGCCUUCGGUUAGCAUUGACGCGUUGUUUGAGACGUGGCUAAAUGGAGUGCUUCCUCAUGUUGCGUCAAGUAUUCGGAUUGGAAUAUUCGCACUUAUUUAGGCUAUAUGGAACUGCAGGAAUGAUAUGAUUUUUAACGGAUCAUCUAUUGUUAACUUCUUGCAUGUUAUCUUCAGGGCUACGGCAUGGAUCCGUACGUGGUCGUUACUCACUCCUACGGGCUCCAGGGAGCAGCUGGUUACUGGGUGCAACCGGUGGGAGAUGGUAGCACGAGCUAUAUUCAACCGGUUUGGAUGGCGGUCGCAUAAUAGGAUAUGUCCUUAGUAUCGUUUCGUCCGGACGGUUGUGGCUUUGAGUUACUCUUGUUUUAUCUUUUUUCCUCCUUCUGUGAGCCGUACUUUGCGGACCAGACUAUUCUGUGAGCCGUAUUUUUCCUGAAAUCUUUGUUGAACUUAUUUUAAUAAAGUGGCCGUAUGCAUCUCUCCGAUGCAGAGGUCGGGGGAUGACCUCCUUUUCUAAAAGAGAAAAUAUCAAAGAGAGAGUUUUGCCGAGUCUGCCGUUGAUGGCAGCAAUUAUCAACCCAGGGUCAUGGAUGUACAGAUUAAUUUGACGGCCCUGGAUCUCAGUUCUCAUAAUCACACCUGCUCAGGAGCUCAUGCUAAAACUGAUAUAGCAAAGUAUGUUAUUCGAUUUGUGACAACAUACAACUUUGUUGUGCAUCAAAUCAAUUCAAAGUUGAGUUAAUAGAAUAGUGUAGUAUUGGGUGCCAAUCUUAUCAAGAAGACGCUCUCCACUUUCAAUGCUUGUAUGAGGAUUUUGACUGAACAUUUUCGUCAAUGAUAAAGAAAAAUGGAGACGUGAUGAGAAACAUAAUAUGAAUGGAUCUCAAAGGGCAGAAGUCAUUUCAAGAAAAAAUAACAAGGCUAGCAGGUAUGAUGGUUGCUAUAGGUGUGGUUGCAUGCCCACAUUGCAAGGAUAUGUGGAUAUGUACAUGCAUCAAUUGUCUAAGGGCAAAAGGCUCAUGAGAACUACUGUGAAGCUUACUUCACUUGACUUCAUUUUUUAUAUUUCCCAAUUGCAUAAAAUUCCCAAGGCAUUUCUCACAAUGUGGGAAGCCAUGUUCGGACUUAGCAAAACAAAGAUCCACUACUGAAUGUCGAUGACAUGUUAGUGGACUAUCUUUUGGAUUGUACUGUACAUACAUUAAAUCAGAUACACAUUGGGCGUGUUUUCUAGAAUCUUCAUAAGUUCAUGAUAUCGUAUGGUUGCCUAGGUCAUCCUGGUACUGGGAUGAUGAGAAAAUCAUUGAUGGUUCCAUUGGAUGCAAUCUAACUGUUGAUCAAUGGGUUUUGUAUGGGAAAUUGAUCACAAGGCCAUCUUAUCUCAAGAUAAAGGAUGAUCAAUUAGAUUUCCUUAGACAUGCGAUAUAUGUGAUCCAAAUCAAUCAUUAUAGACUAUUCAGAUAUUCCAUAGUGCCUUCUGAUGCAUCAGUGAGAUGUUCCAAUUUGUGUCUUACUUCUGUAGGAACCAUGCUUUUACAAAGUUGAUUGCUUAGAUCAUUAAUUGGACAGCAAAUCAUCACAAGCAUGGGAUAAAUCCAUCAUAAUGGAUAAACUCUGGAAUUUCAUGAUAAUUUGUUGAUUACUGCCUCUAUUUAGGCAUAAUUGUAUAGGUAUUGGUACUUUGUGUACACACCCAGAAUAGUCUUGCGGAAUCACUUAUCAAGAAGAUAAAGAUAACAAGAUAACUCAUGCAAAAUUGUAAUCUCCCAACAUCAAGUUGGGGAAAUGCACUUUUACAUGAUGCAUAGUUGAUACAAAUUCGAUCAUCUGCAUAUUGAUGGCUCGAGAAUUUGUGAUGUUUUAGCAGUGGUUUUUGCUUGGUUUCAUUGGAAUUCUUAUUACUCUUUGGAUAUUUCUAACGCUAAUCCCUCAAAAGAGAAAAAAAAUCCACUUUCUUUGGCAGGAAUUAUCAGCUAUGGAAGGAAACCAAGGAGGAUUGCUACAAAUCAAGUCAAAUGGAGCAACUUUCCUGAAGAAACCGAAGUCAACAGACGCACCAGAGUAAAAGAAGGCGUUCCAUACGACCGCAAGCGCUCGUAUGAGUGGUCCAUUGAGGAUUCAUGAAGGGUCCGAGGAUAAAAAGAGAACCCUAGCCGCCGCCACACCAUCCACAAGAGGAGAGGGAAGAAUCCAAGAGAAGGACCAUUGAGGAUCAUCUAGUACUUGGUUCUUUCAUCUCCGUCAUCACCAUCACCACUUUUCACUAUUGUAAGAGUAAUUCCAAUUGGGAGAACAAUUGUAACUUUACUCAAUCCCAUCUGGAGAUCAAGACUAUUUGAAUUAAUUAUGCAUUCCAUCUUAUUGUGGAUCUUCCCGGUAUUAUCGACAUGGGUUUCAUGGGUUUUAUCUUCAUUGUGAUUGAUUCCCCUCUUAUGAUGUGUGAGUAAUUCCCCUAGGUGUAGGAGAUGUAGGUAAGUGGUAAGAUUAAUGUGUGAAUAUUCUAUAUGUCAUCAUUUGCAUUCGUAGUAGUAUGAUCUAUCUAGUAUGUUGUUAUGUUGUGGUGAACCCUAUGCGUGUUGUCCAAUUUAAGAGCCCAGGCAACAUGGUCUCAAGACCUACACAGGUAGCACGUAUUGUUUAGGAAAUCUGUGACCUCUGACGUGACAGGUGGAGAUAUCUAUGAGGACCGAAGACAAUAUGAGAUAACGGUGAUCCACUGAACUUAAUGAUUGGUUCUAGUCUAAGGACCUUAAUUGUGGAAGCGACCACUCUGUGGCAAGGAGAAGCGGCGCCAAAGAAUGAAAUAUAAUCCCUCGCGGAGGGGUUUCAUAACCCUAGGGAGAACCGCCUAGAGAACACUUAUAUCAAAUGCUAUGAGUAUAAUACAAGGUAACUGGUAUUACCGUCACACUGGCACACUUUAUAAAUUCUUACCAUGAGCUGAAAUCUCUCUGCGCCUAAUCUCUUCAUUGCAGGAAACACAACCGUAGUUUUAUUCAUGUUAUCUACUUUUAUUAGUUCUUCUACUUGUUAUCUUUAUCUAGAAUUUUUCGGAAGCACUAGAUUGAGCACUUUUAGAAGUAUUCACAAAGACUUUCCGGAACAGUAGUUUCAGCACUUCCAGAAUAUUGGAUAUGUUCUUUGAUAAGAUAAAUAGUUUGAGCACAUAAUAACCUACAAGAAAAUGCAUGGGGUCAUCUCAAACAUAGUUUGAGCACUUUCUGAUUAUUUUGCAUAUGCAUUGAUAAUACUCUAAGCACUUUCACAAUUUUUUGAGAGCACUGUCAAAAAGUAGUUUGAGCACUUUCAAAAUUAUUCACAAAGACUUCUAAGAAUACUAGUUUGAGAACUUUCAGAAUGUUUUACACGUUCAUAGUACUUUGAGCACUUCACAAGCUAUGAGGGUUCAAAUUACGCAUGGGGUCAUAUGAGAAAUAGUUUGAGCACAUUCGAAAAGAGUUGGAAAGAAACAUAUUAUAGCCAUAUAGUACAUCGGGGGUCAAACUAGAUUUGGCUCGUCUUUUCUUCUAUUUUGCUUUCAAUUCUAAACAACGCAAUAAGUUUAAUGGGUGUUGGAUCGACAAUGUACGACCACUGCUUCGUGUGCCUCCUCGUCUAACUCGAAACACCAUACGCCACUAGAUCGAUGUUGGAUACUUCACCUGCCUUGAAACACCAGAUACCCUAGAUCGACGUUGGAGGGCGCCUACUUCAUCUGCCUCCUCGUCUGUUUUCGCCUCCUUGUUUGCCUCCUCGAACAACGGUUACCAAAUCCCCUCUAGUAAGUAACCAACACAUCUUAUUCCCCAUUCCUCUCUCUCAAACUUGCCCUCUCCCAAUCUCAGUCUCGCACUCGCUUUCUCCACAAGCCCGACGAACAGAUGGAGUUCUCGGUCUUAUGAGCACCGUUCAUCGAGGAAUACGACAUCAAAGCCCAUGACAUGUACACGAUCCACAUCUUGCACACUAACUUCCACAGCCGCGUUAACCGCUGGAUAUCACAAUGCAAGGUGUAUUUGCGAGGCCACGAAGAUAAUAUCGUCGACAUAGACGUUGAGUACACACCCAAUAGCCAGGGUGAAGAGAAGAAGACAACCCUGAUCCAGUUGUGCUGUGGUCAGAACUGUCUCCUGUACCAGGUAUGCAUGUCACAAGGGGUAAACAGAACUUAUCCGGUUCCUCCUUGAUGGAGGCUCCACAUUUGCUGCAUUUUGCAUCGAUAGUGAUAAACGCAAGUUGUCUUAUUGGGGCAUCAUUACAAACUUCAUCGACAUCUAGAAGGUAUAGAUUGUGCCCGACAAAGGCAAUCAUAAAUAUUUGCCUGCGGAUGUUGCGACAACAAUCAUUGAUUAGUAAUAUGUACCCUAAAGAGCGAUUUUGAUAAGAGCCUUCACCAAUGUUGGGCUAUGUCACUGUGCCGCACGCAAAUCGACUACAUAGCAAAGGACACAUAUCCAUGCUGCGAUAUAUGGAAGCGCAUUGUCAACAUUAAGAAAGGCUUAGUCCUAGCUCAGGACAAGGCCGAGUGGAGCACAAGUGUUGCAUAACGAAAGGAACAGUACGGGAGGAACAAUCACAGAUACUAAAGGUGGAGGAGCAGUAGGCCUCAGGAAAUGUAGAUAAUGUACUUUUUAAUGUAUUUUAAAGUUUGCUGAAGAUAUGUAUUACUAUUCUCAACAAGUGUGCUAUCUUCUUAUGGAAAUAAGUUAUGGGUCGGUCUUAUAUGUAAGUGGUACCUAUGAUUAGUAAUUUGUAAACUCAUUUUCCGCAACCCUGUAGCCUCGCCGAGGACGUGAUAGUCGUGCACAUCCCUAAGUUGUUCUACCACUCUUCCCAAGUCCUUUGUUACGAAGGAAUCGGACGAUCCGUAUUUCAUGCAAUUUCCAGAUAUUUAAUAAAGGACAUGCCACAAAAUAAGUAAACAAUUACUUAUUUUUGUAUAUAUUUUAAAAAAUGACCCUUCCAACAUUUUCGUAUAUGUCACCCAAAAUAAGAUGGAAUCAUCACCAAAGAUGUCAGGGGCAGCGGAGGGGGCAUCAACUUGUGAUGUCGCCAUCACAAAAAAUGAUCUACGUGACAGUUCAUUCUCCGUCACAAGGAUUUUCAUCACUAACAAUCGUGUGUUUUGUAGCGAACUAAUAUAACACCGUAGGAGUAUUUAAUUUCUAUAUCAACCGAUCUAUAUAUAUCAUGCACGCAUCUCCGCCCAGUGGUUUGUGCUUCCAAUCUUUCACACCGACCAAGGCCCGCUAAGCAUACGUCUCGAAGGGCGGCGCCGUUAUGGGAAGGACGCGACAUGGAGUGCCGUGUCGUGUGCUUGAUGACACAUCAACAUGUCGCCCACACCACGCCAGGUCAAAGGUUUUAUUGCCCGUGAUCAUCAUGGCUCUUUUGUGAGAGCGGGUUGCGCACGGUACAAGGGUGUCACCGACCCUUUGUCCAUUGAAGUCCUUGCUUGCAGAGAUGCGCUAGCUAUGGCGCAUGGGAUGGGACUCCAGCACGUUGUGAUUGAGACGGACUGUCAAGAGAUACAGUGUCUCUGGGAGGUAUCAUAGAAGUCGAGUGGAUUCCACCUUAUAAGAGAGAUGAAGUAGAUGAGUGUUCUGUUACAGGGAUUCAAGCUGUGGUUUUCAAGUAGCCUUACUAACUUGGUUGCUUACUGCUUAGCUAGGCAUACUUUACAUCAUUCUGUCAUUCAACAAUUGUAUGAAACAAUCCCUGGCUGGCUGACUGUUUAUCUACAGUCAGACAUGCUAGCGCCUAAUGAAUGAAGUGCCAAAGGGCGUUUAACUUUUAAAAAGGGAUAAGUAUAUUUUUCGUCCUCGAACUCUUCCGAGAGUUUAGAAAUCAUCCCUCAAGUCAAAACUGGAUAAUUUUCGUCACUCAACUAUCAAAACCGGAUAGUUUUCGUCCCUCACGCCGCUUCGGGCGGUUUUCGUCCGCCAUGAACAGUAAACCGACGAACAGUAAAUUCGAAAAAAUCUGAAAAUUUGUUGGAUCAACAUUCCUCGGGUGCGCAAGGUGUGUACAAAUUUUCAUAUUAUUUGGACAUUCCAGGUGCUCAUGACAAAGAAAAAAUUGUAAAUAUGUACGUCGAUGAACAGUAAAUUAAAAAAAUAGCAAAAAAAUAUGAAAUUUUUUGGCAUCAAAGGUGCUUGGGUGUGCAAGGUGCUUGCAUAUUUUCGUGCUGAAAUGACAUAGGAGGAGCUCUAGCAAAAAAAAAUAGUGCACUUUUUCAAAGUUUCUUUCCCAGCCAAUUUUUUUUCCACGAGCUCCCACAAUGUCCAAACACCAUAAAAUUUUGCAGGCACAUUGAGCACCCAAGCAUCUUGUAUGUCAACAAUUUCAUAUUUUUUUGAAUUUGUUUUCUAUUUUUUUGAAUUUACUAUUUACUGACGUACAUAUUUAUGGUUUUUCCUUUGUCACGAGCUCCUGGAAUGUCUAAAUAGCACCCAAAAAAUCCACGCACCUUGCGCACCCGAGGAACUUUGAUCCCACAAAUUUUCAGUUUUCUUUACUAUUUUGAUUUUUAUUAAAUUAUUGUUCAUCAGUUUACUGUUCAUGCGCGCGAACGCCCGAAGCGGCGUGAGGGACGAAAAUUAUCCGGUUUUGAUAGUUGAGGGACGAAAACUAUUCAGUUUUGAGUUGAGGGACGAUUUCUAAACUCUCGAAAGAGUUUGAGAACAAAAAAUAUACAUAUCCCUAAAAAAAAGACAAUGAGGCAGUGCUAGCCUUCGGAGUAGCCUAGUUGCACAGUGUCUUACGCUGGGUUGCACAGUGUACAUGGGAAGCAGUGGAAUAGGGCGAAAGCACUUUGUCGAACACCAUGAAAGCGGGCAUAGAGACGAGAAAUUUGCAGGUGCACAUGGGCGCACGUAAGCACUUCGUUGACCGCACAUCUGCGUCGCAAUUCCGAAACUUGUUCCGCACAUCCCACACCAACUUUCUGUUUGUACAAUGAAACUUAACAACUUAUGAAUAAAUCAACUAUAAUUACCUACGACGUAUGUUUUUGUACACAAAACUUUACGAACGUGUUUGGUUAUUUGCACUAGGCCCAGCCUGGUCGGCGCGGGAAGAAAGUGGCUAAUUUGGUAGCUUGUAUUUACUGUGUGGCCCGCAUGGCACGAACUUUAAAGCACACUUGGGUCUUGCUCGCUGGAAACGCUCGGAUCGGCAGUUGCUUAUCUUGUAGCCUUCUCUUUAAUUCUGUUCUUCCUAACAUCUUCCGAUCUACACAACGAUGCUUCGAUUCGAGGUAAGCUCUACACGAAAAAGAUGCACCUCAAUGCUACGGUUCCAUUCAGGUGAUCGGUUCGUAAUUUCGUAAUUUCGUCGGCCGUAAUUUCGUAAUUUCAUCUUUCCGUUUGAAGCUAUUCUAGACGAAUUGCCACAUUCGUCGCGCACGACCGAUCGUUUAAAAUUUCCUUUGACCAAAUCUCGCAGUUCCACACAACAUUCGUGUUGUAAAUUUUUGGUUUCGACGAUCGUAGCUUCAUCUCUUUUUGAACAGCAACCUACUACACUGCAGCCGUCAUGUCAAGCUCCUCUGUCCUCUACUCAGAGCCCUCCUAUUCGUCCCUCUCGAUGCCGACGCACUUCCCCUUGAUCUCCUUGCCCACGUCCUACUACACUAGAGUCGUUUCCGGUGUCGCUCAUCUCGGCCUACUCUCUGUCGUCCUCCUACUGCACUGACGUUGCAAUGGCGCGCACACUGCUUUCUUGUGUCCUCUGCCUCCGUGCACACUGCAGUUCGCCGCGCCACCGACGGGGUCGAUCAUCUUGCCUCCUCUCUCUCGCCCUACUACACUGGAGUCGUUUCCGGCGUCGAUCAUCUCGGCCUCAUCUCUCAUCCACUGCACUGAUGAUACCAUGGCGCCACGGCCACUAUCCACGGCAGUCGCCAUUGUCCGACGCACACUGCAUUUUUUCUUCCCCUCCCUCUGCUAGCUCUUAACCCUGUGUGCUAAGUGCAAGUGCUAGCUCUUAAUCAUACCUCAUGCAUGCAACCAAACACCAUGUUCAUGUGCCGCUUGGGUCAAUGUAGGCAACCAAACAAAAUGUACUUGUGUAUUACCUAAGACCCUAGAUGCAGGCAACCAAAUAAUUUACAGAUGAUGCAUUUGAGGCUGUUUUUGCCCCACCGGGAGUAGGACUCCUCCUUUCCUUGUGGGAGUAGGAGAAGGGAAGGGGGAAGGAGAAAGAAGGAAGGGGGCGCCCCCUUUCCCUAGUCCAAUUUGGACCAGAUCAUGGGGAGGGGCGCGGCCACCUUUUGAGGCCUUUCUCUCCUUUCCCGUAUGGCCCAUUAAGGCCCAAUACGAAUUCCCGUAACUCUCCGGUACUCUGAAAAAUACCCGAAUCACUCGGAACCUUUCCGAAGUCCGAAUAUAGUCGUCCAAUAUAUCGAUCUUUACGUCUCGGCCAUUUCAAGACUCCUCGUCAUGUCCCCGAUCUCAUCCGGGACUCCGAACUCCUUCGGUACAUCAAAACUCAAUAAAACUGUCAUCGUAACGUUAAGCGUGCGGACCCUACGGGUUCGAGAACUAUGUAGACAUGACCGAGACACGUCUCCGGUCAAUAACCAAUAGCGGGACCUGGAUGCCCAUAUUGGCUCCCACAUAUUCUACGAAGAUCUUUAUCGGUCAGACCGCAUAACAACAUACGUUGUUCCCUUUGUCACCGGUAUGUUACUUGCCCGAGAUUUGAUCGUCGGUAUCUCGAUACCUAGUUCAAUCUCGUUACCGGCAAGUCUCUUUACUCGUUCCGUAAUACACCAUCCCGCAACUAACUCAUUAGUCACAAUGCUUGCAAGGCUUAUAGUGAUGUGCAUUACCGAGUGGGCCCAGAGAUACCUCUCCGACAAUCGGAGUGACAAAUCCUAAUCUCGAAAUACGCCAACCCAACAAGUACCUUUGGAGACACCUGUAGAGCACCUUUAUAAUCACUCAUUUACGUUGUGACGUUUGGUAGCACACAAAGUGUUCCUCCGGUAAACGGGAGUUGCAUAAUCUCAUAGUCAUAGGAACAUGUAUAAGUCAUGAAGAAAGCAAUAGCAACAUACUAAACGAUCGAGUGCUAAGCUAACGGAAUGGGUCAAGUCAAUCACGUCAUUCUCCUAAUGAGGUGAUCUCGUUAAUCAAAUGACAACUCAUGUCUAUGGCUAGGAAACAUAACCAUCUUUGAUUAACGAGCUAGUCAAGUAGAGGCAUACUAGUGACACUUUGUUUGUCUAUGUAUUCACACAUGUAUUAUGUUUCCGGUUAAUACAAUUCUAGCAUGAAUAAUAAACAUUUAUCAUGAUAUAAGGAAAUAUAUAAUACUUUAUUAUUGCCUCUAGGGCAUAUUUCCUUCAGUUCUUCCUACAGAUGAAUUCAGAGAACUAAUCAUCCGGCCAAGAUGAGAAAGCAGCUCCAUACGCAGAAGCAACAGAAAGAAGCUUAUCGUUGAUCCUGCAUAAACGGUUAUCUGGCACCUGUGGCAUCAAGUUAACUGUGGCUAAAACAGUACGCAGGCAAAGAAGCUCGUUAGUAGCAGCGAUGGUCAGACGUGGUUGUAACGAAAGACGAAGAUCCUCCGCCGAAAGAACAAAUGCAACAGAUACAUUAGGUUUUGUAACAUGGGAGAAAAGACUUGGGAAGCGAGCAGCCAAGGUAUCGUUGCCGAUCCAUAGAUCCAACCAAAACGCGGUUGAGACACCGUUACCGAUCUUGACGUGGGUAAUAGAGCGGAAGAAAGGGAGACCAGACAGGAGGUCCUUCCAAACUAUUGUGUGUAGUCUAUGAGUGUCACCAAUGUAGUGCCCGCCUUCCCAGCCAUACGUGGAGGCCAGCCAAGAGUCCCAAGAGCCAAGACCGGGUUGGUGUAUUUUACUGAGGGAUUUUAGAAGCAGGCAAAUAUUAUGAGUACGAAGGCAUCUAAAGCCCAGGCCGCCCUUCUUAGUGGGGGCACAGACGUCUGCCCAAGCAACUUUGCAUUGACCCCCAUUCACGUGGUCAUCGCCAGCCCAAAAGAAAGCACGACACCGCUUGUCAAUCUCCUGAAUAGAACCAACAGGAAGCAGCAUAACGCUCAUAGCAUAGGUGGGAAGAGCUCGAAUUACAGAGUUGACAAGAACUGCCCUACCGGUCGCAGAGAGAAGGUGUCCUCGCCAACCAGCUAACCUUUUGUCAACCUUAGCAAUUAACGGGUGGAAAUCUAUUAGACGAAGUUUGUGGGUAGACAAAGGGAGACCAAGAUAGUUCUGCGGGAAAGUAGCGACCGAGCAACCCAACAUACUUGCCAUGCGAGCGGCCACAGAAGGGUCAACAUGGAUUGGAGCAAAAGUGCUUUUAGCAAAAUUAAUGUGGAGACCCGUGGCGAGGGAGAAAUUGAGCAGGAUAGAUUUUAGGGAGGCAAGGUUAUCUUCGUCUGCCUUUAUGAUAAUUAGAGUGUCAUCCGCGUAUUGAAGAACAGGACAUGGCGAGUUGGGAACAAUUGGGUGCUGCAGCAGCCCCUGAGCUGAGGCCUCUAGGAUCAUGCGUUGGAGGAUAUCGACAAUAAUGAUGAAGAGGUAAGGUGAAAUGGGGUCGCCUUGUCUGAGACCGUUUUUACAUUGAAUCCAGUUCCCGGGAACGCCGUUAAGAAGAAUAGCCGAUUGGCCAGUGUUGUUCAGCAUCAUAAUCCAACGAAUCCAAGAUUCCGAAAAGCCUUUGGCUUGAAGGAUACGAUAAGGACUCUCCCAAGAGACAGAGUCAAAGGCUUUCCUAAAAUCCAAUUUUAAGACUAAGGCCGGGCAUUUUCUUUUGUGGCAAGCUUGCACAAUAUCAGCUGCGAGAAUGAAGUUUUCCGAGAUACACCGUCCUUUGAUAAAGCCGGAUUGAUCCGCAUGGACAAGAUCACGAAUAACCGGUUGAACUCUAAUAGAAAGGCACUUGGAGCAGAGUUUGACCGAGCAGUUUUGAAGGGAAAUCGGAUGCAUCUGGUCAGGGUCAGUUGUGCCAGGUUUUUUGGGGAUGAGGAUAAUGUAAGCUUUGUUGAUACGCCUAAGAUCUGCAGAGCAGGAGUAGAAACUGUUGAGAAGGAAUAGAAGGUCGUUUUUAACUAGGUCCCAAUUGGCCUUGUAGAAAGCUGGCCCAAAACCGUCUGGUCCGGGACUAGCAUUAUCGUUCAUGUCGAAGAGAGCCGUUUUAAUCUCCUCGAGAGAGAAGGGGCGAGCCAAAUCGAGAGACUGAGAGGGUCUUAGACGAGAACCGGAUACUAGCUCGUUUAGAUUCGGAGGAAUAGAACAGGCUAUAGGGGUACCAAUGACAAGUUUAAAGUAGUCACGAAGAGCACGAUGCUUGCCGGAGUGGGAAGAGACCUCGCUACCAUCUAUGUUGAGGGAUUUAAUUUGGUUUUUACGCAGCCUGAUCGUAGAGCAAAGGUGGAAGUAGUCCGUGUCUCAUCACCGAGCACACAGUCCUUGAUUUUAGCCCGUUGCCGCCAGUAAACAGCAGCUAGGGCGUUGUGCCGGUGAAGGGACAGAGAAACCUGCGUGCGAAGAGAGCGUUCUAAGGAGGAGAGCGAGCGGAAUUCUUCUAUUUUGUCUAGGAAGGUGAUGACCGUGUGGCAGUUUUUAGUGAUCACAAGAGGAGAUCUAGCUUGCUUGGCCCAGGCCUUAGCAGCUGUGCGCACUCUCUUAAGUUUGAGACAUAAGUGGCCCAAGUGGGUAGAUGGGACAACACUAUUCCAAUUUGCAAAAUGAUGUUCAUGAAAGGUUGUAAGUGCAGAAGGCCGUUGUUGAACCGGAAGACUGAAGGCGUGGGAACUUUGGACGCAGCAAUGAUAACAAGCGGCACAUGAUCAGAAGUUGACCGGCAAGCGGGCGUGAGUGUGGAGUCCGGGAGGAGGAAUUUCCAAGCUGUGUUGACAAAAGCCCUAUCCAAGUGCACCAAAGUCGGGGAGUCUUGUUGGUUAGACCAAGUAAAUAGCCUAUCGAGAAGGGGAAGCUCCUGAAGAUUAAGACGGUUUAAGGUAGACGAGAAGAGCAAGGCUUCGGAAUGGUUAAAGUUGUCAUUCGAGCGCACGUUGGGCUUUAGAGUAAAGUUGAAAUCGCCUAAAAGAGCCCAGGGGCCGGUUACAGAGGAGCCUAAGAGAAGAAGUUCGUCAACAAAUGCUUGCUUCUCAAAGCUGACGCAAGGACCAUAAAUGUUAGAGAUCGAGAAAUCAUCGUUGCUAGCUCUGGCCGAGAAGUGUAAGGUUAAGGAGAACUUAAGAGCAGUGACAGAAGUGCAGGAGUAGUCUUGAUCGUUCCAAGCUGUUAGGAUUCCUCUAGCAGAACCAUUUGAAGGCAAGAAAUGGAAUGAUUUCAACCUAGUGGGUAAGAAGGAGCUGGCUUUGAAAGUAGAGAUAUCAUCAAGCUUUGUUUCUUGCAAGCAAAUAAAAGAGGGGUCGAGGCCGAAGAGAGCAGCUUUGACGUCAGUACAUUUUUUGUUUCUACCGAGACCACGAACAUUCCAAGAGAUGAAACGAGUUUUACAAUUCAUGAAAACCAUAAAGGGCAACGAAAACAUAACGAAACAUGGCCGGACAGGGCCACCUACAAACAGAUACAUGGAGCAAGUCUAGGCCAAGUACAGCCAGGUUGAGACCCACAGCUGCAACUAGACGUGAAAGUAGCAAAGGAAAGAGGCUGCGACCAAGCUCAGAAGAGCUAAGACCUAUGGUCGGAGCAAAGCUAGGACUAAAACGGGAUACAGACGACAGACUGAUACAAGCCGAAGCGCGACGGCAGAGAAGGACCGCGAGGGGAUCCGGGGCUGACAGUUGAAAACGCAACAUUAGACACAUGCGCUGUCAUCAAGGAGAGCCGAGGCGGGCACGUCACAGGCAGCGGCAAGCUCCAGCACGUCCUGCCGAGGGAGGGGUGAGGAGACCUCGGGCGCCAUGUCGAUGAGCUGAACUGGGAGGAGCGCCUUUCCACCAGCAGAAUGCCCUCGGGCUUAUAUAUAUUCAGAAUAUCAAUCGGCUACGAGAUCAAUUAGGUUUGGCUUAUGUUUUUCUUUUUACAGUUUUGCUAAAGCACAUCUAGAUGUACUAUAAGUAUUGCACAUCUAAGUCCUAUGUUAUUGAUCUUAUGUUAAGAUUCGUGUAGAUAUUUCUUUUCUUUCUCUUUCUCUCUAUACUUAAUUCACUCACUUAGAUGUGCAAUAACUAGAGCACAUCUAAAUGUGCCCUAGACACACCCUAUUUUUUAAAGCUCCGCUCUCCGGCUUAUUCAUUCAGCGGUAACCUAUCUGAGUGCAAACUGCAGCCCAGAAAACCAGGGAUUACAUCGAAGCUGCUAAUGCUUGCUAGCAGGGUUUAUGGCAUGUUCCAAACAUGCAUGACUUGCUGAUGGGGCAUGACUUGCUGAUGGGGCAUGACUACGUGUCUAGGAAGAUUAGGCGGAUUUCAAAUAUUUAGAAAUCAAGAAAUCAAAUAGAUUUAGAAUUUGAACAUAAAAAUUACGUGCCACAAGUUAAUACAAUGAGAUUCACUUGGAAUGUACUAGUACAUGAUGGAUGUCAGAGAACUAGAGAUGUUCUUAGUGUAUAGAUCAAACAUCCAUUGAACCGGCCAUAACCUCUUUCCAUUACUUUCAUAACGGAAAUACAAUAGUUUGUCAAACUGGAAGGAAACCAGAAAGGGGGAAUGCGAGUUCAACGCAUCACUGAAAAAUUUAUGAUAAACACUCGUCAUCAAGCAGCCUACCAUGGGGCGAAAACCUAGUGACACCCUCAGAACCAGUAUCAACAACCAAAAGGAACCAAAGUCUAAGACACAUCAGCCACAAGAGGCCCAGACGCAUGCUCACGCAAGAUCAAACAUCCAUGGUUAUGUUGAUAUGUUGAGAUAGUAAAUCGAAUGGUUGCACUACCUCUGUCCUAAAAUAUAAGAGUUUUACUUUGUCACACAAAUGAAUAUAUCUAGAUAUAUUCUUAAUUCUAGAUACAUCAAUUUCUAUUUUUUGCGACAAGUAAUUAAGGACAGAUAUUGAUGGAGGGAGUACUCAUUAGUGAGGUUUCGUGCAUGCUCGUGACGUGGCAGCCUGACUUGCUGAUGUGGUCGGGCUGCGGGAAUAGGAAAAUAUAUACUAUAAUGGGUCCCAAGUCGAAAAAUACGAAGGAGAACCUGGGUACCAGCGCACCCUAUAUGCAAAACAAAUUUAGUAAUUCAAAAAAUUCCAAACCUUUUUUGGUAUCAAACAUGAUCAAGUAUUGUAGUCGUACAAAAAGAUUCUUCGGCCCUCGCAAAAAAAAAAAAGAUUCGUCGGAGAAUGACUUUUGUUGCACCCAGGGUCGAAGAUUUGGCAAAAAAAACGCUAUAUACAAGUACUAUACACGCUAUAUUGUCGUCAUAAACUUGUCUUUUUUACCCUAAAAUCAAUCGGAAUCAUUUCUUGUCCAAACUUUUUAUACGAGUACAAUGCCUGAUCAUCUUUGAUUCCAAACAAGAUUUGGAUUUUUUUGGAAUUAAUAACUUUUUUGCGCAUAUAGGGUGCCCGGGUACCCGAGAACACCAGUUCCCGUCAGUCCCAAGUCCCAACUAUUUACUCGCAAAAAAAUAUUUAGAAAAUAGUUAAACAUUUGCCCACUAAUAUUUUUUCUAUACGGUUGCAUUUCUGCAUGCGCAGCUUCUCAAUCUCUCGAUCUUGUCGGCAACCUCCAUCAUUGUCGGCCUCUCCUCACCGGUCAAGCUCAGGCACCGUAUAACCAGCUCCGCGGCGUCGUCUAUCACCUCGUCCCCGAGCUUCUCCCUGACACUUCCGUCCAUGAUCUCCCGGUGUCGUCCCCCCUGCACAGCCGUGACGAAGGAGAAUGCGAGGCUGGUGUCAUCCUCCUCGGGGCCGUCCGGGCAGAACGCCUUCCUCCCGGUGAGGAGCUCCAGCAGCACCACCGCGAAGCUGUACACGUCGCUCUUGCAGGUGAGCUGGCACGUGAGCAGAUACUCCGGGUCGAGGUACCCGCAGGUUCCCUGGACAAGCGUGGCCACCUGGGCCUCAUCGACGGGCGCCAGCCUUGACGCGCCGAAGUCGGAGACCUUGGCGGUGAGCUCGCCGUCGAGCAGGAUGUUUGCGGACUUGACGUCGCCGUGCAGGAUCGGGGGCGAGGCGGACGAGUGCAUGUACGCGAGCGCGUGCGCCGACUCAACGGCGACGCGCAGGCGCUCCCCCGGCGGCAUGGGCGCCUGGCCCUUGCCGUCGCCGUGGAUGUAGCGGUGGAGGCUGCCGUUGGGGACGUACUCGUAGACGAGCAUGGGCACCUCGACCUCGAGGCAGCAUCCGAGCAGCUUCACGACGUUCCUGUGGUUGAUCUGCGAGAGGAUCAGCAUCUCCUUGGAGAACUCCUUGAGCUGCUUCUCAUCGGCCACCCUGGACCUCUUGAUGGCAACGGUGGUGGAGCCGCCGGCGCCGGGGAGGACGCCCCUGUAGACCACGCCGUUGCCUCCUCGGCCGAGGACCUGCGCCUCGUCGAAGUUGCCGGUGGCCUUCUUGAUUUCCUCCUCGGAAAAGAUCUUGAAUGCGACGCCGGAGCUGGCCAGUGAACCCAGGUGCUGCUGCAGGAGGAGCCCACCGUUCUGCUCGAAGAACCUCUGCUUCGCUCUGAGCAUCCUCCUCUUCUGAAGACUCAGGUGUGCCCAGAAGCACGCCAGGAUCACCAUGAACACUCCUAUGCUUACACCUGAACAAAUUGUUCAUAAUUGGUACAAACUGUUUUAUUAGUAGUACACAUGUACAAUUGCAAGUGCCCAUGAAUUUCUGUCAAAUUCGUGUUUUUAAACGAAACUUAACGACUCAAGCAUGUUGUACCUGUGACGGCCUUCAGCGCUAAUGUGAAUUUGUCUUGUUGGUGGCAACCAUCCUGCACGGUAGCGUUUCCACUCCAUCCCUUGGGGCAUGUGCAGAGGUAGCUGCCUGGCGUGUUGGUACACACACCGUAGCACGGGUACAAAUCAUGUUCCGCGCAUUCGUCCACAUCUUCCGUUUGAGUCAGUUUGACAAAAUUCGUCAGUUCGACAAAAAAAUCGGGAGAGGAUCAUAAGCCACCGAUGAGCAAGUGCUGAUCGACGAGAAAAGAAUUUUGGGAACAGAGUAUACGAGUAGUACCGUUGCAGCCGCCGAGGACAUAGGGGUUCCCCUCGUAGCCGCUGGUGCAGUUGCAGACGUACCCCGGACCGUUGCUCGAGUCCAGGCACACGCUGUGCGCGCUCCGGCACGCGUAGGCGGUCGCGUUCUCCCGCACGGUGGCGCAGGAACCUCCGGCGCCGGCGCCUCUGAUGGCCCAGUCCAGCACGACGGGCACGGCGAAGUCGCCCGUCCUGUUGAAGUGCGAGCCGGCGUACCAGAACCACCAGGCGUCCACCAUGAACGCGUAGGCGCAGCCCGUGGAGUUGGCCAGGAACGUCCCUCCCUGCUGCUGCUGGCGCCGGCCGAAGCUGCGGACGUGCGGGCGGUAGGAGGCCAGCCCCAGCGGGAUGUUGCUCUGGCAGCAGCCGUCGCCGCCCCGGCACGACCCGGGCAGCGCGCGCUCCGACGGCCGGCACACCGACAUGCACCCGGUCACGUAGUACCCUCCGUCGUCCACGAAGUAGGCCAGGUCCGGGCAGCCGAUGGCCACGAACUUGCUCUUCAUGGACGAGAAGAGGAAGGCGCUGCCGUUGAGGGCCAUGGGGUACUCCCGCCGGCCAAGCACGCGGCCGGAGCCGGAGGUGCGGUCGUAGCAGGCGCGGCUGGCGUUGAGCAGCACGGUCGCCUCGGCAGAGGCGAGCGAGAUGGCGACCACCUCGUGGCCAUAGCCGGCCACGGUCAGCCGCGGUGGGUGGCGCGUGUCGUCGCACUCGAGCCGGAAUCCACGGUCCUCGGCACGGUGGCAGCGCGCUCCGAUUCCGAAGGGGUAGGGGACGGUCACGUUGCCGCACUGCCGCCGGCACCCCGGCGGCUGCUGCGCUGCUGCGGGUGGAAGCAGCGGCGCUGCCAGCAGCAGCAGAACGGCAAACAUUGCCAUUCUUGCUGCAGUCAAAGCUUAGCGGCGGCUGCCUGGAUGGACCGCCUUUGGUGUAUGAGCAGAGCACCUGGAUUUGAUUGGUGAUCGACGGAAGAUGUCAAGAAAAGAAACGCAGAGACCAGAGAGCGGCAAUGGAAGGACGACACGUCCUUACCAGCAGCUUCGUUGACGGGGAGACAUCGAACCAUUAUUCGCCCGGAGCUGUCUAUCUGACAUGACAUAACUUUUUUUUGUUGAGAAAUAUCUGACAUGAUAUAACUUCUUAACUUAACGCACUGCGUGUGGAAAUGGUCAAUAGGCGCUGCGGGCCGAAUAAAUACGAGUAAAAUUGAUCAAUAGUACUUCAACUUCAACUUGAGCUUGUGUCUUAUUCCUUUGGUCGCUCGAUUUUAACUUACCCUAAAUACUACUCCCUUCGUCCUAAAAUUCUUGUCUUAGAUUUAUCUAGAUACGGAACUUGUCUUAGAUUUGUCUAGAUACGGAUCCGUAUCUAGACAAGAAUUUUGGGACGGAGGAAGUACUAUUACAGAGGUUUUUAUUCUUGCUGGUAUAGAGGGGGUUUAAGUUGUUCACUAUAGUCACCCCGCUCGUUUGUCUACAGUAUUCUGCUAACUUGGCAUAAAGUGGAAUAUUUUAAUCGCUAUACAUGGGCGACACUUCUUGGCUGGACAGCGUGGACCGAAUGGCAUAAAACCCAUUACCCCCUUCGCACACUAACCGUUCCACUCCUACCUAUGUCCUUUGCCAUUUUGUUCGGGGAGGUGUCGAAACAUGAGGCGAUCAAGUUGGAGCAGCUCGUCUUGCUCCAAUGACAGUGAGAUGAGCUUGUCUUCCAACGUCGAUGCGCCCUCAUAUGCGUCGUUUGGGAGAAGGCUUGGUGAUGUGCCACUUGCUCCAAAAUGUCGGAGGGAGGGACCUUCAUCACCGCUUUAUGAUAUGAUUCCAAAGACCCCUCUUUUACACGAUUUCCUGGCGGCGGGAGGGAAACAUUGGCUCAAGGUUAGGGUUUUCGCCGCCUUAUCUAUUAUGCCACAAAUGAUGUGCUCGAGGUGAGGGCUAUGCAGGACAACAAAUUGGGGAUUCGGUGGGCUUAAGGUUUCAAACUCAUGGAUUUUGGGCAUGUGAAAUGUAUUGACUCAUCAUGGACAUUAAUUUGGGGGAAAUCUGAGUUUUUGGAUUUAGGGUUUCGGAAAUUGUGGGUUUGUUGAUUUGAGAAAAUUGGGGUAUUGAUUAAAAGCCAGUGGGCUAAGGAAAAUGAUGUUUUUGUAUACAUAAACACACAUGAGCAUGUUUGCGUUAUAUCAUUAUGCUUUUGGGACAUUGGCAUUUACACUUGUUGGGGAAAUAGGCAUGCUUUCGAUACUACUCCCUCCGGCCCAUAAUAUAAGAAUGUUUUACAAGUUGAUUUAGCUUGCAAAAUGUUUUUAUAUUAUGGGACGGAGGGAGUAAUGUUUUUGUGGAAAUGCAAAAGGGUUAUAAAUGAUCUAUUGUUGUAGGGAAAAAAAUGCAAUAAUCACUUCUCAAUCGAGAUGAAUCAUGGUGGUUAUUUUGCUGGAACUAGCAACCAUGGAGAAUAUUGCAGCCGACACUCAAUCCGGUAUGAUUAGUAUGACAUGGAUAAUUGGACACCCAGUGUGAUUGAGAGUUUGGUUGGGUAGAUUGAGUAUGAAUACGAGGGGAGAAUAAGAGAGGACAGGUGUGCCCUGGGUAUGAUAAUGUACACGAAUGGUCUUAGAGAGAUUAAGAGAGGGGAUGAUACAAUAAUAGAGAGCAUGAUGCCAUGUGUUACAAAUGGUAAUUAUUUUAAGCAAUUGUUUCUUGAUCACAAUGACAACACCAUCUCCUACAUUUCACUUGUGGUUGUUCACGAUGAUGGUGACCCACGCCUCGUCGAAGUUGCGGGUGGCCUUCUUGGGCCCAGUUCUUUUCAGCUUUUAAUUCUCCAGAAUCAGAUUCUUGGGCCCAGUUCUUUUUCGAGAUUGUUGUCUCAGAAUGUGCGAUGAGUUGUGCUGAAAUUUAUAUAAUGUACCUGAACUAAAAAUGUGUGCUGAAUUGCUAACACUUAGUUGUUUCAAACAGUCUCUCGUCAAAUAUGAACACAAAAAUGAUUUACGAAUAUCAUAGUGGUAAAUAUUACAAUUAGAAUGGUUAUAAAGUUUGGUUCGUUACAAAAGGGGCCAACUACAAAUAGAAGGAAUAAUUCAAGGUACAAGAUUGCUAGUAAUAGCCUCACGUGUGCGGUCAUGGUACCGUCAUCUUUUGGUAGUAGAGAGUUGGCAUGGUAAUGGAGGUUGCACAUACGCAUCAUUGUCAAACUUGUCAAAAUGCUCAUCGUGUAACUUGGUAUGACGAAUCCAAUUGUGGAGACACAUGCAUGGAGUGACAAUCAUCUUUUGGGUCUCUGGUUUGUACCGUGGCAUGCCUCCGAGAAUUCUCCAUUUCAUCUUGGGAACACCAAAUGAUCAUUAGAUGACAUGUUGCACAGAUGAAUGGCAAUGGUUGAGUGUCUCAUGUCUCCCCAUCGUUGGGUGUUGUUUUAACUCCGGUACAUGGUAUCAUUGCCCUUUGUUUCCUUUCUUCUUUUAUUUUUCCUUUUUUGAUUCUUUUUUUAAAUCAUUUUUCUCUUCUUCCUUAUUCGAUAAUUUUGUUCUAAUUCAUGACCUAUUUUCUAAAAUUGAUGAACCUUUUCCUUUUUUUUAUGAACUUUUUGAAAAUCAAUGAACUUUUUUCAUUUUCUGAUGAACUUUUUUGAAGAUCGACGAUUUUUACAUUCGACGAAUGUUUUCAAAUUUGUUGAACUUUUUUAAGAAAUCAAAGAAUUUCCUACAAAUUAAAUGAACUUUUUUCAAAAUUUAUGAACUUUUUUGUCCAAAUUUGUGAACUAUUUUUAAAAAUUGAUGAACUUUUUUCAAUUACACAAACUUUUUAAAAAGUCUUUGAACAAUUUUUAUUUUAAGAAACAUGCCACAGUUUUUUCAUCAGUGAUCAAGCAAUUGAACCUAAUUUUCAAAUAGAUCAAAAAAUAUCUAAAGACUAUACCAUGUGGUAGUGUUUUCUUGUUUUUAAGCAUAUGUCUCACUUCCAAGGUCUUUCCCCAGCUACACCAGAUAACUUGUAAGCAUGAGCUAUUUAAAUUUUUUUUGCAACAUUUUUUUUCAUCGAAACAGUCCAGUCGCUGAAGAAGUUUAACGACACGAAACAGACAGUUCGGCUAAUGGGCUUCGCGAAUAAAGCCCACUUGAUCCUCUAGCGAGCCCAGAUCGAAGAUUCGGUGCUGAAGGAGCCGAAUAGGGCCUCUCCCGUGUCCGUCUCCACUGAAGCGGUAGCGGGGAGCGCAGAGGAGACACCGUUGCGAUGUUGGCUGUCCGGUGCGGCGGCAGCGGCGGCGGCGGCUGCGGUGGCGCCUACCUGACGGCUCAGAGGACAACGGCUGCUCGGAGCGGAGCCUUCAACGGCCGCAGCGCCCUUCUUGCUGCGGGAACUGGGGCCAGGGAGCUGAGCCUUAGGGUUUCCCUCUCGCCCAACUCCCACCCCCACCGCGUCGGCGCUUCAUGCCCGUGGCCAGUGGUAAGAUCUUCUUCCGGGUUCCCAAACUCCAUUGUUCAUUCGGGUGCAUAAGCUCUAAGGCACUGCCUCUGCAGCGUUGCUCCCCCUGUCCUUCUCCUGAUUUGGAGGUGCCGCGCGUCAGUAAGAAGAAUACCAGGAACGAGGAAUGGGAGGCGUUGAAGACGGAGUUCGGACGCAUGUUCCGGCCGCAGCUUCGCAAUCUAGGGGAACUCUUUUCGCUCCGCCGUGUCUACGACAUUGAGGAUUAUCAGCUGGGCAUCCUGUUUGGUUCGUUUGAUUUCAAUUGCUCUGGUGUAUGUUCAUUGUUUUGACUUGCUGUCUGCCGAACCCAUCGCAUUGUAGUGAUUAUGUUUAGUUGCAGGUGCAUUUCUUGGAUGCGUUGGCUGUUACCAACUGUGGAAGACGGCGCCUUCCAUAUUUGUUGAUGCCAUGCUCGCAUUCAUCUUCUACAAGCUCAGUGUUGUGUCCUCGGAGCUACAUAGAAGCCACAAGUCCAACAGCCUGAUUACGCGGCUGAAAUUCGGUAUUUCUUUAUUUUUUAAAUUGGUUUUCAGUUAUACUAGUUUGUAGCCAUAUUAUUGGACAUUCAUUGGAUCUCCUUCUCAUUGUAGGUACCAUACUUAUCAUGGUUUGGAAGGACAUCAAGAAAAACUAUGUCCUCCUGGAUGUUAUUAGGUCAGUAUGUAUUGUCUAACUAUUAAAUCAUUUAGUAGUCAGGUACGGCAGUUUCGUCCCAAAUCAUCACUUGCAUUUUUGGAACAACAGAUAUCAUUCUUCUAACAUUGAAUUACAAACUCUAGAAUGGCAACUUACCCUCUAGUUUGUACAUCACAUAAUUCUGUUUUUUAUGCAUCUUUUUUCAUUAACAUUUUAGAGCUUUGAUAACUUGUCAAGCUGAUAUACCAACAGUACAACAUCAUAGGAGUUAUGUUUCAGGACCUAUAGGUCCACCAUACAGCGGUAGCUAAUGCUUUUUGGUGUCCACAAGCACCUUGUGUUGGAAAUGCGAUUUUUAGGGAAACAUUAUAGCCCUAGAAAAUAAUAUGUGUAAGGGGACUAGAACAAUAUAUAUCCAUGAUGUUGAAUUCAUAUACAAAGUGGAAACAGUAAGGCUUACAUACUAGCGCCCUGUUCGGUAUCCCUCCGCUCCACAACUCCGGGAGCAGAGUUGGCGGAGCUGCUGUUCAAAUCGAAGGAGUUGUGGUUUCCCUGCUCCACAGAUUCUGGGAGCGGGUGAUUACCGAACAGGCCCUAGAUGAGUGAUGGAUGAGAAAGAUGUAGAUACAAUUUUUCUUGCCCUUAUUGGAUUUCGUUGUCUGCAUGUCCGCUGCCCCAGUUAAACUUUGCUUCUUGAGAAGGGCAAAGGUAUUCAGACUGCAUAUGAGUCACACACAUUAAUCAACACAUGAGGUGUGGGCAGUUAGCCUAGCAUAAAUGGCCUGCAACAAGAUAGUACAAUGUUUUCACAGCCACAUGAACCCUGAUAACUCAGCUUCAUGUCCAGUAUGUCAGGAAAUCUUUAAUCGCCACAUUCUCUCCCCCCUUGAGAAUGCAGUUCAUAAUUCUGUUUGUCCAAGAAGGCAUGAUGUAUUGUUAAACUGCAUUCCUCUCAUUGCACUGCAUGCAAAGAGUACAAAUGUGCAAACCACAAACUGUCUAAUGCUUCCUUUCAACGUGUCAUGCCAUCUCAUUCAGUCAUUGAGUUGCCAUUCACCAUGGUUGGUCUAAAUCGUAUGUGCCUCUGCUGGAAAUUUUGCCAAGCUUACUUUGUGGCCUAAUAUUGGAGCUUUAACUUGAACAUAUGAUAUACUUAGUGUUUGUUAGCGGUGCCAUGGUCUUGAUAAGUACAAUCCUCCCAACAGAGGAUAGCACUCUUUCUGUUCUAUCUGUCAAUUUUCUUAUGUAUCUUAUCUACUAGAUAUAUACAUGUUUGUAAUCAGAUUUCAGUAGUCUGCCAAGUCUUGGUUAAACUCUGUGUAGAACAUGCAUUCCCGAGCCAUACUUCAUGUAAGCAUCUAAAUUUUGUAUCUGCUGUAUCAAUAUGAUAUAGAGUGGAGUUGGCUCUGACCUUUGUCAGUUAGAUGAAACAAUACAAUUAUCUUUCUCAUGCAUUUCUUUUGGAUAUGGCUCAUUCAAUCAGUAACUGAAUAUAGUUUCAUGACAUAGGAUGCCGGUUCUCCUCCUCUACAUUUGUGCAUUCCUGUUCGAUGUUGCUGGCGUGAAGAAAUAUGGAAGGCAAGGCUUGGUCUAUUUUGUUAAUCUGUUGAAAACCAGAGGUGGGCUUCAAGAGAUAUACAGGAUUAUGUGGUUGCCUGGCUAUGUCUCUCCCUAUGACGAUUCUAAGAACUAGUUAUGAGGCUCAGGUUCUUGAUGGGCAUGCAUGAGAAUGGGACUGCAUCCCCUUGGGUAUUUUCUGGAUGGGCAUGUAUCGGGUCAAACUCCUAGAGGUUUGCAAGGAAUUUUGUUUAGUUCAAGGGGUUCAGUGUAGUAGCGCCUCAUCCGAACAAGCCCUUUGUUGGGGCGUAGAAUAUGGGAGCCCCAGUCUGUAAUAUAUGUGCGUAUAAGUUCUCAUCUGUACAAGCCACCUCUUAGAUGAAUAUCUACAUAGUUUCUCCUUCUCUUAUAAAUCCAGUAUCAAACUUAUCUUAGAUACAAAUUUGCCCCUUUUUCCUAUAAAUCUUACUGAAAUUCUGUAGUGGUUAUUAUACAUACAUCUACCAGCUG